UUUUUUUGAGUCUUUUAGGAUUAUAUAUAUCGGAGAGUAGGAUUCUUUUUACUCCUCAGUCCCUUCGUCGCUCUGGUGAGGCUUCCCGACCUAGAGUUUUGACUCUUCUCUUCGUCGCUCGGGUAUCUUGGAAUCAUUCCGAUGGUUUUGUGAAGAGAACAUUGUUCUUGGUGCCUCCUGACAUUUAGGGGUUGUGGUAGUGUCCCAGGGAGUUGAGCUCCGAGGUGUUGUCGUCACAAUUUUAUCGUUGCAGUUCUGGAAUACCUGAGUUCGCCGACAUUGAAAAUCUCCUUUAUGCAGUUGUUGGUGAGAUAACCUCGACGCCACCCAGUACUGGGGCGGGAGUUCGAGAGUAUUUCCAUAACUCGUAUAACGGAUGCUUUUCGAAGGUUGAGGUAAAUGAUUUCCCAAGGUUUCUUGGUUAUGUGUUGAAGGAUGGAUACAACUGAUGUAGGAUUUGCUAGUUUUGGGUGAGAUAUUAUGCUUCCCCUGUAUCCCCAACACAUAAUUGCAUAACCAGAAAGUUUCGGGAGUUUCAUAGGUGGGAAUUCAUGUAGCUCUAGUAUUUCUUUCCGCAGAUAGUUGGUUUGUGAUUGGGUAAUCCUUACCAAUUAUUUGUUCAUGUCCGUACCUUGUUGUUUUAUUCAUCUAUCUCCAUCUAAGUGGCUUCUCAAUUUAUGGAAGUGUGAUCAUUUAAUUUGGAAUUCAUUCGUUCAUUCUUGUUUGAAUGUUAAGUCUAUAUGUUGCAAUUUCGAUCCAUUUGAUUCAGCUUGAAUAUAUGUCUUUCAAGAUGCUAACGGAUGUCAUCCUCUUCAGAAUGGCUCCUCCAACGCGUCAGAAUCUGGAACCUCCGCCACCACCUCCACAUCCGGAGGCAUGGCAAGCUGUGAUGGCCGCCACCAACGCCAACACGCAGAUGCUUAUGCAACUCUUACAAGAGCGUAACCAAGGAAAUCAAGGCCAUGGCAACAAUCAAGUUCAGUUUGCUACCCUCAACCAGUUCCUCGCAAACCAGCCGAAGUCUUUCAGUAACUGUGUCGAGGCCACAGACGCUGACGAUUGGCUCGUGGAUAUCUGCAAACAUUUUGAGUGUAGCAACGUCAGGCCUGAGGACUUUGUCAAGUUUGCUUCAUUCCAACUCAAAGACCAAGCUGCUGAGUGGUAUCAUCAAUACAAAGAUUCCAGAGGAGGUCGUGUGAUUACCUGGGAUGAUUUCCGCCGAGACUUCAAAGCUCACCACAUUCCUCAAAGUGUUGCUGAGAGUAAGCGUGAGGAGUUCCGCAAUCUGAAGCAAGGCAGUAUGUCUGUUUACCAAUACAACAUCAUGUUUCAGAGACUCACUCGCUUCGCCAAACAAGACGUCCCUAACGAGAAGAGCAUGAUUUAUCAAUUCAGAGGUGGCCUCAGAGAAGAUCUGCAACUAGCUCUCAUGCUUUUUGAGCCGAAACAGUAUGAUGAGUUCUACAACAUGGCACUAAAGCAAGAGGAUGCUCAGCUCAAGUGCGAUGCUUCUAAGAAGAGAGUCAUGGAUGCAACUCCUUCUUCUUCUUCAACUCAAGUGGCAGCUAAGCAGCAAAAGUACUGGUUGAAUCCUCCUCCUCCGUUCCGUCAGCCUUACCAGCAGAAGAGUAAAGGUGGCAAUGGAUCUUCCCACCCACCCAACCCAGGCUAUCAGAACAAACCGCAGUCUCAUGCUCCAAGGUCAAGUACUCCUUAUCACCGUCCGCUCCCAGAGGUUACGUGCAACAAGUGUCAGCAGAAGGGUCACUACGCAAACAAAUGCUUCAACCAGAGGCGUCUUCCGCCUCCUCCUCCUGUGAUAUCUGCUAGCAAUGCAGUGGUCAAGCAUAAUCCCAAGUUUGCAAAGGUCAACAUGAUGAACGCAGCUCAGACAGAUGACUCUUCAGAAGUGAUCAUGCGUAAUCUUCCUAUUAACGAUAUUCCUGCAAAAGUUCUUCUUGACACUGGUGCAUCACUUAGUUUCAUCUCAAGACCAUUUGCAUCUAAGCAUGAGUGGGUUUUGAAAGAUUUGCCUAGUCCGUUAGCAGUUGUCUCACCGGGUAAAUGCUUGCACGCAAGCUACAUGGUUCCAGAUGUUUCUAUCAAGAUGGGUGACUAUAAGUUUCUGUCUUCUCCUAUUGUUCUUGGUGACUCGAAUAUUGAUCUAAUUCUCGGCAUGGACUGGCUUUCUAAGCACAAGGCUUAGCUUGAUUGUGCUGCCAGACAGAUUCAAUUGACACACUCGUCUGAGGAUGUGAACAUCUAUGCCACUCAUGAUGAUACCAUUUGACUGUUUUCUCUCAAUGAGAAGGGCGAGCCGAACGCCAUCUCUCAGAUUCCAGUCAUUUGUGAAUAUCAAGACGUCUUUCCAGAAGAGCUUCUAGGAAUGCCUCCUCACCGGCCAGUUGAAUUCGUCAUCGAUCUUGAGCCUGGCACGGAACCUAUUUGCAAACGUCCUUACAAGCUUGGACCAGAAGAGUUGAAGAAGCUAAAGAAACAACUCGGUAUACAAGAGUGUAUGGGUCUGAUCUGAUCAAGUUCUUCUCCUUGGGGUUGUGGUGUUCUUUUUGUCAAGAAGAAAGAUGGCACGGGCCGACUUUGUGUCGACUACUGUCCAUUGAACAAGAAGACCAUAAAGAACAAGUACCCACUUCCCAACAUCAAUGAGCUUUUCGAACAACUCAAGGGUGCUCAAGUAUUCUCCAAGCUUGACCUUCGUAUGGCUAUCAUCAGAUUCGCAUUCGUGAACAAGAUAUCCCCAAGACAGCAUUCAGAACAAGCUAUGGUUCAUAUGAAUACACGGUCAUGUCUUUCAGCCUUGUAAACGCUCCUCCAACAUUCUCUCGCAUGAUGAACUUCAUCUUCAACCCUUACACAAAUGAUUUCGUCUUGGUCUAUCUCGAUGAAAUUUUGGUCUUUUCCAAGAACAAGGAGGAUCAUGCCAAGCAUUUGAGAUUGGUGCUGGACAAACUCAGAGAACAUCAGUUCUAUGCGAAGUUUUCAAAGUGCAAGUUUUGGCUCGAUGAGGUUCUCUACCUUGGGCAUAUCAUCUCCGCCAAGGGCAUAACUGUUAAUCCUGAGAAGGUGUCUGCAAUUGUGAAUUGGGAACCACCUCAGAAUGUGAAGCAACUCCACAGCUUCCUUGGGCUCGCAAGCUAUUGUCGAAGAUUCGUUGAGAAUUUCUCUAAGAUCGUGAAGCCUCUUUCCAACCUCCUCCAGAAGCAUGUGAAGUAUGUCUAGACGCCUGAAUGUGAUAUCGCUUUCAACACCCUCAAAGAGAAGUUAGUCACAGCUCCAGUUCUGACUCCUCCCGAUGAAUCCAAACCAUUCGAGGUUUUCUGUGAUGCUUCCCUGCAAGGUCUCGGUGCUGUGUUGAUGGAAGAGAAGAAAGUUGUGGCCUAUACCUCUCGCCAGUUGAAGCCCAACAAAAAGAACUACCCCACUCAUGACCUCGAGUUCGCGGCAGUUGUCCAUGCUAUUUUAACAUGGAGAAAUCUCUUGUUGGGAAGGAAAGUGGACAUCUUCACUGAUCAUAAGAGCCUCAAGUACAUCUUCACUCGGCCCCAACCUCAACCUCAGGCAGACUCGUUGGGUCGAGAUGAUUCAAGAGUAUAAUUCGAGUAUUGAAUAUACUCCAGGCAAGGCCAAUGUCAUUGCUGACGCUUUGAGCAGGAAGGCUUACUGCAACAGUUUAAUUCUCAAGCCCUUCCAACCGGAUCUUUGUGAAGCUUUUCGCAAACUUAAUCUCCAAGUUGUUCCUCAAGGAUUCCUUUCCAACCUCCAAGUCUCUCCUACUUUGGAAUAUCAAAUUUGUGAGGCACAACUUCUUGAUGCCAUGGUGAAGAAGGUGAAGAUUGGGAUUGCCAAGAGCCAACCCAAGUACAAGUGCUAUCGCCUUGAUGACAAAGAUACUCUAUUCUUCGAGGAUCGAAUCGUUGUUCCUAAGGGUGACCUUCGUAAAGUCAUUAUGAACGAGGCUCACAAUUCACUCCUAUCUAUUCAUCCUGGAAGUACAAAGAUGUACCAUGACCUCAAGCAGUCGUAUUGGUGGACUCGAAUGAAGCGAGAGAUUGCUCAGUUCGUGAAUGAAUGUGAUGUCUGCAGAAGAGUGAAAGCAAAACACCAACGGCCAGCUGGUCUCCUCCAACCUCUUGCCAUUACAGAAUGGAAGUUUGACCAUAUUGAGAUGGACUUCGUGACUAGAUUUCCCAAGUCCAAGCGUGGCAAUGAUGCUAUCUUUGUUGUCAUCGACAAGCUUACUAAAGUGGCUCAUUUUCUUCCUAUCAAAGAAUCUAUCACAGCAGCUCAGUUGGCAGAGCUAUACACCUCCAGGAUUGUCUCCUUGCACGGAAUUCUAUAGUUUAUAUCUUCAGAUCGUGGAAGCAUCUUCACUUCUAAGUUCUGGGAUUCCUUCCAGAAGGCCAUGGGCACCAACAUUCGCUUCAGCAUAGCCUUCCAUCCUCAAACUAGUGGACAAGUCGAGCGAGUAAAUCAAAUUCUUGAAGAUAUGCUCAAGGCUUGUGUCAUUUCCUUCAGUAUGAAGUGGGAAGAUUGUAUUCCAUAUGCCGAGUUCUCCCACAACAACAGCUUCCAAGCAAGUUUGGUUAAGGCCCCAUUCGAGAUUCUCUAUGGCAGAAAGUGGCGUACUCCUCUUAACUGGUCAGAGACUGGUGAACACCAACAUCUUGGCAAUGACUUGAUCAUAGAGGCUGAAGAAAUGUGCAAAGUCAUUCGUGAAAAUCUCAAAGCCGCACAAUCGCGCCAGAAGAGUUACUAUGAUAGCAAGCAUCGUGACUUGGCUUUCGAGAUCGGAGACCAUGUCUACCUCCGUGUCUCUCCAAUGAAAGGUACUCGUCGCUUCGGUAUCAAAGGGAAGCUUGCCCCUAGAUACGUGGGUCCUUUCAAGAUCAUUGGAAAAAGAGGCGACCUCGCCUAUCAACUUGAGCUUCCUCCUGCCUCGACGUCCGCCACCGCGCCGCCCCCGUCGCCGGCAGGUGCUCCGGCGACUGGAUCCGGGGCCGCCGUCGUCUUCCCCACCUCCGGCCUUCUUCCCCGUCUCCUCCGGCGAGAGCUCCGGUGAUCCUCGAAGUCCACGUGCAUCAGAUCCAGAUAUGGAUCGGGUCAAGACCUAGGGUUGACCCCGAGAUAUUUCUAAGUCAUUUUCUGCAUAUUUUAUAGCUCUAUUCAUUGCAUCAUCACUCUGCAUCCAUAGCUCCGUUUUGGGCGUGCCAUAUAUCAAAAUGUUCAUUAGGAUGUGCUCUUCAUUUUGUUACAUUGCAUCAUGCUUGUUUGAGUCCAUCUUGAUGCCCUAAUGACUGUUGCAGGAGUUCUAUAAAAUGUUAGUUUCUGUUUCUAAACAGAUUAUGAGCAUUUGUCAUUUUUGCCAUGAUUAUUGUGUGCCUACUAUGGACUUGAGCUCUAUAUGUGUUUUGGGCUAUGCCAUGCCAUCUUUACAGGGGUGUAUGCCAUGUAUUUUUGUGAUAAAUGUGAUGACUAGCACAUGCAUGCAAAGUAGCUCUCGUGAUGUUGCUGAUUUCGGGGACUUAGAAUUUCACUAAGUCAUUUCUCUAUUGUUAUUUUUAGGCCAUGUAUUCAUGUUGCUACAGAGUGAUCCAUGCCUCUUUUGAGUAUGUUCAGUAAGGAUGAUUUUGACAUAUGGUUAUGCUCUAUCCAUCCAUGUCCUUGUUUGCAUUUAUGGAGUCCCCUAGCAUAACUCAAUCUUGCUCUACUUUUGCUAUAAAAUGUUCCUGGCAGAUUGUUUACAUGUUAAUCAAUUUUGCCAAGGUUGUUGUAGUUGAUACAUGCAUGCUAUGAGAUGGUUCUUGCCAUGGUUAGCUUCUUGUAGAUGUAUUCUUGCUGGGUGUAUGCUUAGUUUGUCAUGCAAUGCCUUGUGUUGAGUGCAUCGAGCUCGCAAACAUGCCUACGUAACUCUGUUUUUGCCAUGUCCAGUUUUCUGAUGUCUGAAUCUGUUAACGAAACUUGCUAUGUUUACAUGAGUGCCAUCAUAUUUUCUGAUCCUUUUUGACUUAUGGUCAGUAAGGGACUUUUGUUAUAUGCUUUUAGUAGAUUCAUGUCAUGCCUUUGUUUGCUAUGUUCCGUUCCUGUAGCAUGUUGAUAUCUUACUCUAAACAUUGCUUCUUGAUGUUAAUUCCUGGCAUGUUAGUAUUUUCACAAGUCUGUGAAGCUGAUAUCUUUUGCACUUUUGUCAUGCUUGUUUGAACCUGCUCUUGUGUGAUUUAGUCGUAGCUCAGUCUUUUGUCAAGCAUCUUGAGUAGAUCACUGCCAUGUGCUUUGCUGCUAUGUUAGAGUGCAGUAGCUUAGUUUCUUGUUGCAUUUUAGAUGGCACCAUGCUGUUAAUCGCAGAAUCGUGCCAUUCUUGUUUUGCUUGCCAUUUGCAAACCAUGCAUCCGAUUCCAGUGAUCUUUAUAUCGAUUUCGACCGAAAUCAACUCAUCUUUCUAGCGGCGCACUUGGUUUGCCAAGUUGAGGCCUGGUUCAAUCUUUUCCUUCCGGAGCACGCAUAUUACAUCCCGCAUAUCAUGCCAUGUUUUGCAUCAUGUUGCUUGCGCAUUGCAUCGUGGUUUAUUGUGGUUUCUUUUGCUUGUGUUCUUGCCUUGGGUAGAGCCGGGAGAUGAGUUCGUGAUCGAGGAACCCAUUGAGUACGCUAUCGAGGAUCAAACUUACGUCAACUCGGAGAACUUUGCAGGCAAUAUGACCAUACCCUCGAAAUCACUUCUAUCUUUGCUUGCUAGUUGCUCGCUCUAUUGCUAUGCCUAUGCCGCGAUACCUACCACUUGCUAUAUCAUGCCUCCCAUAUUGCCAUGUUAAACCUCUAACCCACCUUGUCCUAGCAAACCGUUGUUUGGCUAUGUUACCGCUUUGCUCAGCCCCUCUUAUAGCGUUGCUAGUUGCAGGUGAAGAUUGGAGUUUGUUCCUUGUUAGAACAUGAUUAUUGUUGGGAUAUCAUUAUUAUAUCUUGUUUACUUUAAUGCACCUAUAUACUUGGUAAAGGGUGGAAGGCUCGGCCUUAUGCCUGGUGUUUUGUUCCACUCUUGCCGCCCUAGUUUCCGUCAUAUCGGUGUUAUGUUCCUUGAUUUUGCGUUCCUUACGCGGUUGGGUUAUAAUGGGAACCCCUUGACAGUUCGCCUUGAAUAAAACUCCUCCAGCAAGGCCCAACCUUGGUUUUAGCAUUUGCCACCUAAGCCUUUUACCCUUGGGUUCCGCGGACUCAAGGGUCAUCUUUAUUUUAAACCCCCGGGCCAGUGCUCCUCUGAGUGUUGGUCCAACUUGUCAGCCGCCGGUGCCCACCAGGGGCAACUCUGGGUAGGCCUACCGAAAGAUUGGACAAUCCGGUGUGCCUUGAGAACAAGAUAUGUGCAGCUCCUAUCGGGAUUUGUCGGCACAUCCGGGUGGCUUUGCUGGUCUUGUUUUACCAUUGUCGAGAUGUCUUGUAACCGGGAUUCUGAGUCUGAUCGGGUCUUCCUGGGAGAAGGAAUAUCCUUCGUUGACCGUGAGAGCUUGUGAUGGGCUAAGUUGGGACACCCCUACAGGGUUUUGAACUUUCGAAAGCCGUGCCCGCGGUUAUGGGCAGAUAGGAAUUUGUUAAUAUCCGGUUGUAGAAAACCUGACACUUAACUUAAUUAAAAUGAAUCAACAUCGUGUGUAACCGUGAUGGUCUCUUUUCGGCGGAGUCCGGGAAGAGAACACGGUCUCGUGUUAUGCUUGAACGUAAUUUGUUCUAGGAUCACUUAUAGUUCACGACCUUUGCUUUGCUUCUCUUCUCACUCUUAUUUGCGUAUGUUAGCCACCAUAUAUGCUUAGCGCUUGCUGCAGCUCCACCUCACUCCCUUUUCCUACCCAUAAGCUUAAGUAGUCUUGAUCGCGAGGGUGUGAGAUUGCUGAGUCCUCGUGACUCACAGUUUACUUCCAAAACGAGAUGCAGGUGCCGAUGAUGCCAUUACAGGGGAUGCAUUUGAACUCAAGUGGGAGUUUGACGAGGAUUCAGGACGUUACUAUGUUUCCUUUCCAGACGAUCAGUAGUGGAGCCCAGUUGGGGCGAUCAUGGAUCUAUUGCAUUUGGGGUUGUCUUUAUUUUGGUUCCGUAGUCGGACCUUGAUUGUAUCCUGGAUGAUGUAAUGCUAUAUUUAUUUAUUGUGUGAAGUGGCGAUUGUAAUCCAACUCUUUACCUCUAUCUUAUUCAGUACAUGGGUUGUGUAAAGAUUACCCCUCUUGCGACAUGCCUACUAUGCGGUUAUGCCUCUAAGUCGUGCUCCGACACGUGGGAGAUAUAGCCGCAUCGUGGGUGUUACACCCCUCCCCCAUAUAUAUAGGUGGGAGGGAGGGAUAAACAUCCAAGGGGGGCGCCCAAGUAGGAGGAAUCCUACUUGGGGUCUUUCCCAAGCCACGCCCCUACCUUAUAUAGGUGCGAGGAAAAGGCACGGGAGGGGGCGCCCCCCUUUUCCUUUUUCCCAUGAGAGGGAAACGGCAGGAGGGGCUAGCCCUCCCCCUUUCCUUCCCUAGGGCUGGCCGGCUAGGGAUAUGGGCAUACCAUCCCCUUGUUGGCUGCUCUGUCCUCCCUUGGCCCAUCCCUUAAAGUGACCCGAUGGCUACGCGGUGCAUCCGAAACCCUUCCGGUGUCCGAAUACCGUCGUCCGAUAUAUCAAUCUUUACCUAUCGACCAUUCUGAGACUCCUCGUCAUGUCUGUGAUCACAUCCGGGACGCCGAACAACAUUUGGUCACCAAAUCAUAUAACUCUAUAUCGUCAACGAACGUUAAGCGUGCGGACCCUACGGGUUCGAGAACUAUGUAGACAUGAACGAGACACCUCUCCGGUCAAUAACCAAUAGUGAACCUGGAUGCCCAUAUUGGCUCCUACAUAUUAUAUGGAGAUCUUUAUCGGUCGAACCUUAUGACAAGAUACGUAAUUCCCUUUGUCCAUCGGUAUGUUACUUGCCCGAGAUUCGAUCAUCGGUAUCUUCAUACCUAGUUCAAUCUCGUUACCGUCAAGUCUCUUUACUCGUUCCGUAAUAUAUCAUCCCGUAACUAACUCCUUAGUCAUUUUCUUGCAAGCUUGUGAUGUGUAUUACCGAGAGGGCCGAGAGAUACCUCUUCGAUACUCGGAGUGAAAAUUCCUAAUAUCGAUCUAUGCCAACUCAACAAACACCUUCGAAGAUACCUGUAGAGCAUCUUUAUGAUCACCCAGUUACAUUAUGACGUUUGAUAGCACACAAGGUAUUCGUCCGGUAUCCGGGAGUUGCAUAAUCUCAUAGUCAGAGGAAUAUGUAUUUGACAUGAAGAAAGCAAUAGCAAUAAACUGAACGAUCAUUAUGCUAAGCUAACGGAUGGGUCUUGUCCAUCACAUCAUUCUCCUAAUGAUGUGAUCCCGUAAUCAAAUGACAACACAUGUCUAUGGUUAGGAAACCUUAACCAUCUUUGAUCAACGAGCUAGUCUAGUAGAGGCUUACUAGGGACACUAUAUUUGUUUAUAUAUUCACGCAUGUAUUUAAGUUUCCAGUCAAUACAAUUCUAGCAUGAAUAAUAAACCUUUAUCAUGAAUAAGUAAAUAUAAUAAUAAAUAUUUUAUUAUUGCCUCUAGGGCAUAUUUCCAUCAGUCUCCCACUUGCACCUAAAGGCAAUGAUCUAGUUUACAUCACCAUGUUAUUAACACCCAUAGUUCACAUCGCUAUGUGACCAACACCCAAAGAGUUUACUAGAGUCAACAAUCUAGUUCACAUUGCCAUGUGAUUAACACCCAAAGUGUACUAAGGUUUUGAUCAUGUUUUGCUCAUGAGAGAGGUUUAGUCAACGAGCGUGUCACAUUCAGAUCCGUAUGUAUUUUGCAAUUUCUAUGUCUAUAAUGCUCUGCAUGGAGCUACUCUAGCUAAUUGUUCCCACUUUCAAUACGUAUCUAGGUUGAAACUUAGAUACAUCUGGAUCGGUGUCAAAGCUUGCAUCAACAUAACCCUUUACGACGAAUUAUUACCUCCAUAACCGAGAAACAUUUACUUAGUCCUCUUUAAGGUACCUAAGGACAAUUUUGACCGUUGUCCGGUGAUCUACUCUUGGAUCACCAUUGCACCCCUUGCCAAACUCAUGGCAAGGCACACAAUAGGUCUGGUACACAGCAUGGCAUAGUUUAUAUAACCUAUGUCCGAGGCACAGGGAAUGACUUUUAGUCUCCCUCUAUCUUCUGCCAUGGUCGGGCUUUGAGUCUUACUCAACUUCACACCUUUCAAUACAGGCUAGAACUCCUUCUUUAACUGAUCCAUUUUGAACUCCUUCAAAAUCUUGUCAAGGUAUGUAAUCAUUGAAAAUCUUAUCAAGUGUCCUGAUAUAUCUCUAUAGAUCUUGAUGCCUAAUAUGUAAGCAUCUUCACCGAGGUAUUUCAUUGAAAAAUUCUUAUUCAAGUAUCCUUUUAUGCUAUCCAGAAAUUCUAUAACAUUUCUAAUCAACAAUAUGUCAUCCACAUAUAAUAUCAGAAAUGCUACAGAGCUCCCACUCACUUUCUUGUAAAUAGGGGCUUCACCAUAAGUCUGUAUAAAACCAUAUGCUUUGAUCACCUCAUCAAAGCAUAUAUUCCAACUCUGAGAUGCUUGCACCAGUCCAUUGAUGGAUCACUGGAGCUUGCACACUUCAUUAGCACCUUUAGGACCAACAAAAUCUUCUGGUUGCAUCAUAUAAAACUCUUCUUUAAGAAAUCCAUUAAGGAAUGCAGUUUUGACGUCCAUUUGCCAAAUUUCAUAAUUAUAAAAUGCGGCAAUUACAAACAUGAUUCAGACUGACUUAAGCAUCACUACGGGUGAGAAGGUCUCAUCGUAGUCAACCCCUUGAACUAGUAGAAAACGUUUCGUGACAAGUCGAGCUUUGUAGAUGAUGACAUUACCAUCAAUGUUUGUUUCUUCUUAAAGAUCCAUUUAUUCUCAAUGGCUUGUCGAUCAUCGCGCAAAUCCACCAAAGUCCACACUUUGUUCUCAUACAUGGAUCCUAUCUCAGAUUUCAUGGCCUCAAGCCAUUUAUUGGAAUCUGGGCUCACCAUAGCUUCUUCAUAGUUCAUAGGUUCGUCAUGGUCUUGUAACAUGACUUCUAGGACAGGAUUACCGUACCACUCUAGUGCGGAACAUGCUCUGUUCGACCUAGGAGGUCCAGUAGUAACUUGAUCUAAAGUUUCAUGAUCGUCAUCAUUAGCUUCUUCCCUAGUUGGUGUAGGCAUCAUGGGAACAGAUUUCUCUAAUGUGCUACUUUCCAAAUUGAGAGAAGGUACAAUUACCUCAUCAAGUUCUACUAUCCUCCCACUCACUUCUAUCGAGAGAAACUCCUUCUCUAGAAAUGUUCCAUUCUUGGUGAUAAAGAUCUUGCCUUUGGAUCUGUGGUAGAAGGUGUACCCAAGUGUUUCCUUAGGGUAUCCUAUGAAGACACACUUCUCCGAUUUGGGUUCGAGCUUAUCAGGCUGAAGCCUUUUGACAUAAGUGUCGCAACCCCAAACUUUAAGAAAUGACAGCUUAGGUUUCUUGCCAAACCAUAGUUCAUAUGGUGUCGUCUCAACGGAUUUAGAUGGUUCCCUAUUUAACGUGAAUGCGGUUGUCUCUAAUGCAUAACCCCAAAACGAUAGUGGUAAAUCGGUAACAGACAUCAUAGUACGCACCAUAUCCAAUAAAGUAUAGUUACGACGUUCGGACAUAAGGAUGGCAAUGGAUCGGGUUCAGCUCGGGUUGAACAAUAUCAAAUCCAUAUCCGAAUCCACGAGGAUAUUCUUUGCCCAUCCAUGAAAAAACCCACGGGUAAAUAUUGUGUCCAUGUCCAAACCCGAUGAAUAUCCAUAACCAAUGGAUAUCCAUCGGGUCCUAUCAGAACACGUAUACAUGUACCUUAAAAAAUCAUAUAACAUAGCACAACAUUCACAUGAAGACUCAAAUUCUCGAAAAAAUGCAUUGCAUAGCUACACAACAUUAAAUACCUUUACAAAUGCUCAUAAAAUGACAUCAAACAUGUGCAACACAUGAAAUGUGCUCUCAGAUUCUCAUAAAAUGACAUAGCAGAACAUCAAGUAAGCACAAGUACGAGAUUCUCAACCUUAGUUUUCAUAGAAUGACGUAGGAACAGCCCAACAUAAUUUCUCAGUCUUACUUUGUUACAAAAUGACAUAGGAAUAGCCCAGCAUAAUUUCUCAGUCUUAGUUUCUUACAACCAGGAGACAUAAGUACAUCAUAGUUCUCAUCGUAAAUGAAAUAAGGUGUUCUUCUAGGUGUCUGUCUUCUUUCUUCACCACAUGGACUAAGCUUCAGUUAUGAUAGAAAUGAACUCGUCCUCGUUGCGAUCAGAUCAUAAAAAUAGUAACUAAUAUCAUGGAAAUAAACAACCAAUCAACUAUAACGAGUGGAAUAUGUAACCAUAGUUUCUUCAUCAUCAUCAAGAACACUUUGAAAUGCCAAAAAAGGAGUGGAGUUGCUAUCCCCUGAUGCAAGAUUCAAUUGAUGAAGGAACACUCAGUAACAAAUUAAAUAUUGUGUAAUAUAAAUUAGAUGAAUGAUUGCAAUUUUAGUUAAAGUGAAAAUAGGUACAUAAUGUGUGAACUAUACAAAUUCAGAACAUAAAUUGUAAUUUUUACAACCAAAGUAACUAAUAAUUAAAACCAUAGACUGUCAGAUCUUUCUUCAGCACAUGACAUGGACCAAGUUGAGCACAUGCUUUAAUUGAAACAAAUCUCUUGUCUGCUCUAUACAAAUUCUAGAUUUAUAUUAAUCAUUCAUAGCCCACUUGAUCAAAAAUAAAAAAAAUGAGCAGACUAAUUUUGUAAAAAUUAAUUACUAAUUUACACGCAUAUAUAUAUAUAUAUCAGGUCAUGUGUACAAAGCGGAAUCUGACUGAAAUCGACUAAUACAAAUAUCCUGUUCCCUUGUUUUCUGAUUUGCAAUCAGAUUUCUAGUCUAAUCUAACUGAAAUUGUCCACUACAGAUCAGGUAAUGCAGUAAAGUCCAAAAAAAUCUCUUGCCAUGAACUAACAAACAGAAGUUGACCACUACAAACCUCUUGUUCUCUACUCCAAUUACUAAUACAAAGUGAUGAACAAGCACGUCAUGCACAUCCAUGGACAAGAACACUAUACAUACAUGAGCAGGAACAACAAACUUACCUUGACAGUUGGCUGUUUGGCGUGGUCGUCGCCUCCAUGAUGCGGUCUUGCUCCUCGCCGUGUGUGUUGUGGGUAAACUCUUGGUGGUAUACAAUUGUCACUGAUUGAUGAAAUCAUCACCGACGGGUUCCCAGUAUGGUCCGUGUGCGAUAUCAUUGCACACAGAACAACAACAUAUGUACUUAUAAAUUAUAAGUACUUGACUCUAUAAAAAGAUUGAACAUCUAAUUAUAUAUGUGGCUAGUACACACAUGAUCUUUGCACACACCAAAGUAUGUUCCAAAAUGCCUAGAAAACUCAAAUAAUGUAUAAAAAGGCAAAACGAACCGUGAAUAAUUUCAUAUUUUUAGGACGACACUACUAUAGUUGCAUGUUGCCUCUGUAUAAAUCAAGGCGGGAAGAGACAAUGUAUGUCGUUCCGCACACAUAGGUGACAAGGUCCCUCUCGGAACCAUGAGCCUUUUUGAGAGAAAGUCCGGUUUGUAAGAAGUUUUUAGCAAAACUUGUCCCAAAUUGGACUAUUUUUUUACCACAACAUGUUGGUGCUAUGUCAUAACACCAUGCCAAGUUUCAUGAUUUUGAGGCGAGUUUUGGAUUUACAGUAAUUUUAAAACUAGGUUUCUCAAUGUUUACUAUCGAGUCGGCACCGCCCUGGAUAGGCUUUUUCCUCAUGGGUCCCAAAUGAAAAAUCCAAAUCUGUCGCUACCAUGCAGCUUUUCUUAUUAAUAAUUACAGCCCAUUUGGUGUGCUAGCUGAAAAUAAGUUUGUGGGUGCUGGUGGGGGCUAAGAACUUGCGGAUCUGUAAUGAACAAAGAUCUCAAGGAUUCCACGAGAGUGAGGUUCUUUCCCUAUGUUGUGAAUGCUUAUAAUAUUUAUGUCUUAAUUAAAUAAAUGGCAAGCCAUUGGCCCAGUAUGAAAGAAAAUAUGGGUCAAAGCCGAGUUAAAAAGGGAAACAAUAUCUAACUCCAGAUUACAAACAGUAGAAAAGCACGAGGAUUAAUUACUCAUCAGGUUUAGACAAAAUCCAGAUUGAACAGGACAAUGACAUCUAACUCAACCAAAGUUUUUGGCAGUCACAAUCAAAUGGAUCGGUCUGAUCCAUAAAAUAAAGAUCCCGGGCCGGAAAUUCUACUGGUCCAUGAUGACAAUCUAUUGUAAAUAGAAGUCAAGCAUGAUCAUAAGCCUUUAGGUCCACUUGAAACUUCUUUUUAUGUUGUUCAACACUUGCAGCCGUAAGAAAACUCUUGUCAUAAAACUUAAUCCUCACGGACAAUAGUGCCCUCGCAUUCAACAUGAAGAAUGUGGCAAAGCUAGUGUUUGCAUUGUUGGAUGCAUAUCCUUCCAGCAUAACUGUCUUCAAACGAAUGACAUAAGAUCUGAGAAAAUCCCGGUGCUUCUUGAACCAUCGAUUGGUCAUACUUUUUUCUCCAUGUAUUAGUGCCUAAAUAGAGACGAAGAUUGAAAACACUUAAUGUCUAAAAAAGAUUAUGUUGAAAGAGUGACAGUUGAACGAUUAAUUAUAGUACAUAUAUAUGGGCUUUCAAUGUGCGUGAAAUCAUCACCUUUAUAUACAAAUUCUCCAAACAUGGAAAGCAUUGCAGCAAGCCAAUAAUUAUGUUCAGAUCAAAACACCACAUAAAGAUAUGUAAGGUCUUGACAUAAUCCACCAGCACUGAUAGGAUGGAGAAGCUCUUCAUUGAGCAUAGAAUAUAAUAUUAGUACCAAAAGUGUACUCCAAGAUGAUACUUAUGCGCACAAAUGAAAAAAGUAGAUUAGAAAAGUUUACAUGAAUAAUAUACAGUACCUCAAUAGGUGUGGAGCCAAACACCAUCUUGAACCAUCUAAAAGGAUCACGAAUUGCACCCAAGGUCUCCAGUUUAGGCGCGUAGACUACAGUCAUUUGUGAAGUUACUAUAACAGAAUCAAGGAGCAACCUUUGAAGUGAAGGGGCAUCUUCGAUGAUGAGAUCAUGUCAAAAAAACAAAUUCCCAUGCUUACAAGGUGGGGUGACUUUAUUCUGAGACAAUGGAGACGAAUUUCCAUUCCAAAAACAAGCAGCAAGCACUCCAGGGCAGGGCAGCUGGAGUGGAUGAUGUUGUGCAGUGCGGCCUCUGACAGAUCAACCACCACAAGCUCAAGUUUUUUUAGCAGUGGGAGUCGAAGCAUUUGUACCAGAUUGUCUGCUAGAUGGAACUGGGCGAAGGUAGUGGUGUGGAGAGAGGAGGGAAACCACGAGAUGGACAUCGGUGGUGAGGGCGCAGAUACAUCGGUUCGUGGUAUGUUACAUACAUAGUCAUGGUAGAACUCAAGCUGCUAGAGUUUAUCGAAUUGAUGGGAUGUUAGCCAGGCGGCCACCGUGCUGGGUAUGUCCAGUAGGUAGCAUGCCGAGGAUGCAUAUGCGUUAAACGGAGCCCUGGUGGGAGGAGAUGAUGGCUCCGGGGAGUUCAGAAUCAUCAUCGAUGGAUAGGUCACGACAGUCGAGAUUAAGAGUCGUGGCGCACCAUAGAGUGCACCACCGAGAUGCGAGGACUUGUGUGCGGCAGCCAUCCUUGGUGGGGAGAAGGGAUAUGAUCUCCCCAAGGAUGUCAUCCGGGAGAUCGCUGAUGCGGUCCGUCGGAGAUUCUACUGGUUCCUUAGGUCCAGGGGGCAUGGUCGCUUCUGGCCGCGCAGCCAGGUACAAGAUCUACAUCCGGCAGCGGUGCUGGCCGGAGCCUCAUCUGUGUACAUACCAAUCUGAAAGAAAAAAAUGGCAUAAACAUACAUGUAGGACAUUCAAAAUCAAUUGUCAAGAUCUGGAAGAAAAAAGGCAUACACAUAUAUGUAGGACAUUCAAAAUCAAUUCUCAAGAUCUAGCCACGAAUUAUUAGCACGCAAGCUAACCCUAGUCAGAUUAUUAGCAAAAAUCAUUUGUACAGAACAAACAAUUAAUCACUAACUCUAUACGGAUAACAUUCAAACAAUCAAUACACUACGUGCAUCUAAUGAAUCUUACUUACUCUGAUUUCAUGGACUAAGAGAACAUAAACAUAGGAUUUGUAUUCCAAAAAAAUCAUAGAGGGGGAGUAACCAGAGAAAACACAUGAUAUGUUUGCCGCACAAAUGGGUAUAUAGAUGACUAACCGGUUUUCCGUCGGAGUCGCAGUCGUUGCCAGAGUUGGUGUUGACCUCCGGCUCUGGCUGCGGGGGCAUGACGGCACCGACCAAGUGAAGAUCGUGCUGCUGCCCGCACGGACCUCGUCGGCGGCAACGACAACCUCUGUGCCCAGCUUCACGCGUUGCGUGGGUGCUUCACCAGCCCCGGCAUUGCCACUCCCUCCAAUGGUGCGCUUCUGUGGCAUCCUCAUACACUCCAGAGUCCAGAAGUUGGUCACCGCUAUGGACCGGGGGUGCGGCCGCCUAUUAUGGUCGGCGGAUCGGACGCGCAAUUAAUACGGACCAGGGGGAGCAAGGCAGGCUGUGGUCAAAAGCUGUCUCGCCUCCCGAUGAGCCUGCGCGACGGACUUCAGCCAUUCCUACCAUCAUUUCACACAGCUACUUGCACACCUCCCAUCAACACGCACACCUGAAUGCACGCCUCCCGGUAUGCCUGCACGGCAGACUGCUCGCAUGCGUCCCGUCAACUCACGCCUGCUCGCAUGGCACACGGGGCAUGUGGCAGCACAUAUAUAUUUUGGUUUAUUGAUGAUUCAUUCUGCCGCUUUACUCCUUAACUGAAGCAUGGCAUAGUUUAAUGCACAUGGUCCGAAUAAAUAAUCCGUAUGAGAUAUUGGUUGCCAGUUUUUAAUAAUCUCCUGUUUGUAAGAAGAUUAUAUCAAAAUGGGUCUCAUUGAUGAAAAAAUACAAUAUCACAGUCUACUAGUGUCCAUAUAUGACACCACGAUAAGUUUCAUGAAUUUCAACUAAUUUUUGGAUUUACUAAAUUUUAAAAAUAUAUAUUCUCAAUAUUUUGAAAUCUCUUGCACAGGGAAACAUGCACCCAGGGACACAUAUGAUUUUGCAACCCAUUUUGGUGCACAUGUAGCUCAGAUUUGAUUUUUGCACAUUAAAUUCCUAGGAAAUCAAUCAAUGUAUAAAAAUGGUCGAAUGAUGUCUGUUUUUUAUUUUCACAUGACACUCCGCCUUUGGUCACAUGUUCACUGCAGAAAAAGUUUGACAUGCCUUAGAGUGGUUGUGGUGGUGCGGGAUCUGUGUGUCUGUGUGUGGGGGGGUGGGGGUGGGGGGAGUGGUCCGGCAGUACACUACGAGUCGUGAACCUCUGUGUGGGAUUAUUGAUCAUUUUGUGAGUCAUAUAUGCCACAUCAAAGUCGUGAAUUGGUUAUUUAAAGCAUUACGCAGCCCUUUCAUACAUAAUUUUCGGGCCACAUGCAUGCAUUGGUGGUCGUCUCGGACACUCUCCCUCGUGCGGUUAUCAGCGAUGUGCCCAUUCGUUAGCACGCAAAGUUUUUUCAGUUUCCACUGACAAUAAGAGGCAUUUUACCAAAAGGUGGAUUCAUCUUGGCAUGUGUGUGGUGUGGAUCAUGAUGGGAUUCCAUAUCAAAGUUCGAGCACGUGCGUACACACUCCCACUGGCUUCAAGUGAGGUGGCUACACGCGUAGUGAUGCAGUGCGUUUCCGGUUAGCGAAGCAUGUGCCACAUCAAUGUUGUGCAUUGGGUAUACAAACAUUAGAUAACACACGGGCGCAUGCACGCAGUGGUUUUUUCCUAUGACAUCACUCGCGUGUGCCUCUCUCUGUGGGCCCACGAGGUCAUCGUCGACCAGUUCAACGUACAACGAGAGAGAGGUUAAUUUGACCAACAAGGAUGGUUCUUUUUUGGUUUGUGUUACAUAUAUGCAUGGUAUAGGAGUAUGUACAUGUCAAAGAGGGGCAACAUGAAUACUCUAUAUAUAUCCGUGUCAUAACCUCGCUCCAUGUGGGGACUUUCUGGUUCCCGAGGCAGGUGCCACAUCAAAGUUGUACAUUAUAUUCGUAUUCAAACAUCACGCAAUACCAUGCAUGUGGUGAUUGCCCUAUAUAUAGGAACUCACUCGCGUGUGGCACUUCCAUCCAUGGGCAUGCGAGGUUGUACUCCAUCACUUUGACCCAAUGAGAGAGAGGUUAAUUUGAUCAUCAAGGAAUGAUUCUUUUCUUGUUUGUGCUAUACAGUAGAAGUACAUAUAUAUAUAUAUACCACGCGUCGAAUGGGGGCGUGCAUAUAGCACAUACCGCGCAUCAUGAACCUCACGCGCUCUAUGGGGACUUUUUGGUUUUCUAUAUACGUGGUGCCACAUCAAAGUUGUGCAUUGCAUAUUCAAACAUCACACAAACAGCUCUUUGGGACACAUGCAGAUAGUGGUACCUAGUCUUAUAUAGGAUGAUCACUCGCGUGCGAUGUAUGCUUCGCUUCUGUGUUGGGCCCAUGAGUUCGUCGUCCAUCACUUUGACCCAGUGAGAGAGAGGUAUGUUUUACGAACAAGGAGGAUUAAUUCUUUUAGGGUUGUGUUACUAGGUGUAUAUAUAGUACGUGUCGAGGGGGGUGACCAGCUUGGUCCAUCACUUUCACCGAUAGCGCAAGAGAGGUUAACUAAUUUGACUUAGGAGGGGAUUAAGUUUUUAUUUUGUCUUGAUAUAGAUCAUGAUGUGAGAUUACAUAUAUAUAUAUAUAUAUAAUAGAGCAUCUGUACACAUGAAUCCAUCCUGCUGAAUCGAAGGGGGCGAGCACACAACAUCUCAUGAAUGACCUCUUGCUCUGUGUGGGGACCUCUGCGAUUUUCAAUGCAUGCACGACAUCAAUGUUGUGCAUUGGGUCGGGUAUUCAACACAUAUGCAUGCAUCACACACCUCCAUAAAUAUGUUCGGGCCACACGCAUGCAAUAAUGGUUGUCUUUGGACACACUCUCACUCGCUUGGUUAUGGGCAGCAAGCCUAUAUAUAUUCGUGGGCCCGCGUGGACGUCCAUCAUUUCAACCAACGAUGAGAAAGGUUACCAGGGUGGAUUCUUCUUCUUUGCUUCAAGUUACCGUAUAGUAGGUCGACCCAUUCCAAGCCUAAUUAAGUUUGAGCGCAUGCUACGCGUCGUGAACCCUAGCUCGGUGUGGGGAUUUUAUGGUUCCAAAGCAUGGUGCCACAUCAAAUUUGUGCAUUGGGUAUGCAAACAUCACACACGCCACUUCCAUAUACAUACUUGGGCCACAUGCACAGAGUGGGUUUGUCUUCAUACAGUACUCCCUCGCGAGGUUAUCCGCGACAAGCUACCCAUUUUUCGGGGACGUGUGGACGUCCAUCACUUUGACCAACAACGAGCGGGGAGUGGUUGUACGACCAAGUUGGAUUCUGCUUGGUCCGUGUUAUAGUACGUCUUGGUGAGAUGCCCUCCCCUAAUGUGUGUGUUGGGGCGGGCUACUUCGCGCUACCUGCAACCUCCGUGGGGUCAGGGAAGUCCGGUUAAAUUGCGAGGCACACGUGCCACAUCAAAGUUGUGAAUGGUAGUUAAAGAUCACACACCUUACCCUUUUCAUACAUAUAGUAGGGCCACCCGCAUGUGGUUCGUAUGUGGUCUCACCCAUCUCGUGCCACAAGCACAAAUUUGUGGGUCGGCACAUAGUCCACCUUUGUCGGGAAGUGAAAGGGGAAGUUUGACCAUAUAUAUAUGAUGGACUCCUAUAGGUUUUGUGUUACGGUAGGGUGAGAUUUCAGACCUAGCUAUUUGGGGGCAUGCAUUCAUAGCUAGGAUUCCCUUACCGCCGACACGAAGUGGGGUUCGUAGGGGGUGGCUGACUAGCAAUAUUGUGCUUUUGUGCGACAGGUGCCACAUCAAAGUUGUGCAUUGGGUAUUCGAACAUCAAACCACCCUUUUCAUACAUAUAUUUGGUCCACAUGCAAGUGUGUUCAUGUUCUGACCCUCUCCCGCGUUAUUCUUUUUGCCAAAUUUAUAAACAGCACACGAGUUGGAUGUAGAAACCGUCUGUGAUUGGGUACGCAAUAGAAACGGUUCGGUCAGACUACCCAUGUGCCAUGCCCGUGCCCUAUAGUCCCUCACAUCAGCACAGUAGAUUGGGCUCCACGAGGAUUGCCUCCCGGUCUCGAAAAUAUCUACCACCUCGUAAUCUCGAAAGUAUCUACCACCUGGAAGGUUUUAAUGUUUGAUAGCAGACAAUUAGUAUAUGCGGACCAUGUGUGAUGUUUGUUACUCCCGCUCUGCUUCAUUCCCUUGAUUCAAAUUUUCAGUAGCCCCGGCAUUUUACUCCCGCCUCUGCAUCCCUCACAAUCUCAAAAAUAUCUUCUUGCCCUUGAUUCAAAUUUUCAGUUGCCCCGGCAUUUUACUCCCGCCUCUGCAUCCCUCGCAAUCUCAAAAAUAUCUGCUCGCCCUUGAUUCAAAUUUUCAUUUGCCCCGCAUUUGACUCCUGCCUUUGCAUCCCUUGCAAUCUCAAAAAUAUCUGCAUGCUCUUGUUCCAAAUUUUCAGUAGCCCCUCCUUGUUACUCCUGCCUAGUAAAAUUUUUAGUUGUCGCAGUAUUUCCUCACACACCACCUUGCCCCCCCUCCACACACACCACACACUCCCCAAAACCUCCGCUCACACAGACACACACCACCCCACCCUCGAUCGAAACCAUUGGUAGGUUACCGCCGCCGCCUCCAUCCACAACCUCUAUCUGUGUGCCGGGGAGCUUAAGGAGCCAAUGGCCAAAAAGAGGUUUAUCGCGGCCUCUUCGCCUGAUGUCGGCGAGGUGGCCGCCGAGGUGUCCUCGUCAUCGUCAUCAUUGAUCGCCCGAUCCUCCCACCGCCGCACCCAUACGCCGGUUCGAGGACUUCCUCGUCCUACCUCGGGGUCCGGCAGCGGCGGUGGGGGACGUGGGUCGCCGAGAUUAUGAAUUGGGAGACCCACACCCGCCGGUGGCUCGGUAGCUUCCACACAACUAAGCUCGCGGCCAAGGAGUACAACCGCUGGCAGGUCCGCUACCACGGCGUGGCAGAUAGGCUCAAUUUCCCCUUCGGCACAUGUUUGGUCGACCUCGUUCUGCCAGAGCUAGGGGUGGGGAGAUCGGCUAUGGUGCGGGAGGACCGCUAGGUGUGGGAGCGCCUCGAGGCCAAGGCCGCUGACGAGACCUACAUGCAAGAGCUCCGUCGGCAGCACCCGGAGCUCAUGGAGGCGGAGGGGUGAUCUUUGCCGGUGCGAAGGGCGGUGAGGUUAUCGUGCUAUCCUUCGAUGACGAGGUUGAAGGCGGCAAGGAUGGCAGUGCGGAGGGCAUCGAGGUGGGCGGCGAGGACGAGGAGAUUGACGUCGAUGAGUGGAGGAAUGUCUUCCCCAACAACCCCGACAACGGCGCCGGCCCGGACCUGGCUCGCGGCACAACAUACCUGACGAGGAAGGAUUGGCUGGACCUCCACUUCGACCGAAAGUAGUUUAGCUUAGUUUAAAUUUAUGUUUUAUGUUCAGUUAUGCAAAACUAUCUAUGUUUAGGUUUGAAUGCAUGCUACUUUCGAUUGAACCUGCUUUGAACUUGAUCAAAUUGCAGUUUACAAUGUUAAGUUUAGGGGAUCGACCAGAAACGGCAAAAAAUUGUUGGAGUGUAUACACGCACAAUCACACACACACACACACACACAAGCACACACACUAAGGGUUUUAGUGUGUUAACUUUUAAUGGAUCUGCUAGAGAUGGACUUAUGCCUUGUUUAUUUCAGUUCUUCACAAUGUGAUGCUCUGUAUGUGCAACUAUUUGCCGUGUAGUUCAAUUUCAUCAAUAACAGUUUUAGCAGUACCACUAUGAAUUACGAUAUUUGCUUGCUAUUAAGGAUGUUGCAGUUAACAUGCCUUUUCAUUUUUUAACAAUAACUACUAUACUUUAGACCUGCACAAUACCAGUUUGAAUGACUAUUUGCUUGUUUUUAAAUGUGCCUGAUGCAGUUAACACACCUUUCCACUUCUUGUAUUGCUUAACUUGAGUUCUUAAGCAUGCACACUGAAGCUAUCAUUUGUAGAUUAUGAUGUCUACCAUGGAUAUAUUUGGUUGAUGUAGUAAAAUCUUAUAUAAUGGGAUGGAGGGAGUGUUGUACUACAUCAUUUUGCAAUUGCUGUUUAGCUUCUAAUAUUAACUUGGUGCUUUUAGGUACAUAUGUCAUUGCCAAAGAUCCAAACUUCGACCCUUUCUGCGUAUGGGGCAAUGAGAUAUUCGUGAACCAGCAUCAAGUGAGGAAACUGAUAAAGAUUGUUAUUAAAAUGGGUCAAAAGAUGUUAAUAGAACUAUUUGUUUACACUUUAUGCAAGACAACCGUGAACUGCAGGAUGGUAAGUAAGAACCCUGUAGCCUUCUUUUUACUGCCCGUAAUGAGUUGUGUUAGAUGAAAAUGUCUAAAUCUUUUUUCCUUUGCAGUGGAUCCUGAAGCAGUUUACUCAAGAUUACCUCUAAAACAACAUGAUUGGCGGCCGGCCAUCACAAGGGGUUGGACUAGAGUUGGGCGUGCCUUCUGCAUCUAGGAGAGCACAAUAGGGCCAUUCCGCUUCACCUUGUUCAACAACCAGAAUGUUUGUCGCCUCUUUCUUUACCAUCUGUAAUAGUACAAGUAUAGAACCCUGGUUCAUCAUUCUUUAUUUGGUGCUUAUGUAAUUCUUAAACAAAUGUACAUGUGCAUCAAAUAAUGCAUUGGUUGUUUGAACCUGAUGGAUAUGAAUAAAGCUAUAGACUACUUUCAAGUUCAAAUUAGGUAUAUUUUUAAAUAGCAACAUUUAAAUUAGGGUGAAAUUAUGGUGUGUAGGUCAUUAUGGCGCACACGGUCAAUAAAGCACGGCGUGUGCUAUAUACAUCAUAAUCUGACAUGGUUCACGGAGAGGAAACGUGUGUAACAAUGCACACAAUUGCCGUUUGCAAAGCGUGUGUGAUGUCAGGCACUAUCACAUACGGUGCGGGAAAACUAAACGUGUGUGAUUGUCUACCUAUCGUACAUGGUUUAUAAUCAUGAACUGUUUGUGAUGUGCUUGGCAUCGUAAACGUAGAGCCAGUUUGGUACGUGCCUGGAAAACUCCCGCGCUGGCCAAAAAUUCCGCACCAAGUAGAGAUACUACUUUUGCAUCUAAAAACCCUUAAAACCCAAAUCUUAUUUUCAAGCGUCCACCAUACCUACCUAAGGAUUGACCAAUAUCCUUCAAGUAAGUUAUCAUCGGUGCAAUAAGUCAAUAAAAAUUGCUUCUAAAAGUGUUAGAUCAUUUAGUGUAAGAGAAAAUUGAGGGUUGUAUGAAAUUGUGAUGGCAAGGAAUAAAAGCAACAGACUGCAUAAUAAAGGUUGCUAUCAUAAGGGGCAAUAUAACGUGAUGUUCUUUUGCACUAAGGGGUUGAGCAUACAGACAGAUAAGCGCAUGGCAACCUCUACUUCCCUCUGCGAAGGGCCUAUCUUUUACUUUUAUGUAUUUACUUUCAUGCAAGAGUCAAAGUUUUUCUCUCUAUUCCUUUUUAUUUUUCUCUUUUGGAAAGCAUCAUGUGGUGAGGAAAGAUCUAGGCACAUAUAUCCAGUUGGAUAUGGGUAGCAUGAGUUAUUAUUGUUGACAUCACCCUUGAGGUGAAUACGUUGGGAGGCGAAAUUAUAAGCCCCUAUCUUUCUAUGUGUCCGGUUGAAACGUUUUGCUCGUGUGUAUGCGGUGAGUGUUAGCAACCAUGGAAGACUAUAUGAUGGUUGAGUAUGUCGAGCUCUUACAUAGACUCUGUUGAAUAAGUUGAAUUGCAAUUGCUUGGUGACUGAGAACAUAGGUUGUUGAGUUUUAAGAGAAUUCAUUGUUUGGACCUUAACAUGUGAAUUGGUUGUUACUUUAACAUGAAAAGUUUUAUAAGAAAUAAUUGAUGUUAUGAUGCUAGGAAAAGUGAUUGAAAUUUUCAUUAAUCAAACUUGUGCACUUUGCUAGCAUUCACACUUCAGAAAUUAUUUCUUUUAUCAUUUACCUACUCGAGGACGAGUAGGAAUUAAGCUUGGGGAUGCUGAUACGUCUUCGACGUAUCUAUAAUUUAUGACGUAUUCAUAUUAUUUUAUUAUCAUUCUUGGAUGUUUUAAAAUCAUUUUAUAGCAACUUUAUAUCAUUUUUUGGGACUAACCUAUUGACCCAGUGCCCAGUGCCAAUUGUUGUUCUUUUGCUUGUUUUUUACAUCACAGGAAAUCAAUGUCAAACAGAGUCCAAACACCAUGAAACUUUUUGUGGAUUUUUUAUGGACCAGAAGACAUCCAGUGGGCCAGAGCAUCACCCGGGGGGUGCCCUGAGGGGGGCACAACCCACCAGGGCGCGCACAGGUGGUUGUGCCCACCUCGGUGGCCUCCCGCACCCCCUCUUUGCCCUAUAAAUCACCAAAUAUUCCCAAAACCCUCAGGGUAACCCUAGAUCAGAAGUUUCGCCAUCGCAAGGCUCUGUAGCCACGAGAAACCAAUCUAGACCCCAUUCUGGCACUCCGCCGGAGGGGGAAAUCAUCAACAGUGGCCAUGUUCAUCAUCCCAGUCGCCGCCACGAUGAGGGGGGAGUAGUCCACACUCGGGGCUGAGGGUUUGUACCAGUAGCUAUGUGUUUAAUCUCUCUCUCUCUCUCUCUCUCUCUCUCUCGUGUUCUUGAUAUGGCACAAUCUUGAUGUAUCACAGGCUUUGUUAAUAUAGUUGGAUCAUAUGGUGUUUUCCCCUCUCUAUCUUGUUGUGAUGAAUUGACUUUUCCCUUUGAGAUUUCACUCUUGUCGGAUUGAAUACUUUUAUGGAUUUGAGAACACUUGAUGUAUGUAUUGCAAAUGAAUACUCAUGGUGACAAUGGGGUAUUAUUUUGAUUCACUUGAUAUAUGUUUUGGCACUCAACUCGCGGAUUCCCGAGGUGACAUUGGGGUAAUCUACGCAUAGGGGUUGAUGCAUGUUCUUGUCUUUGUUUCUCUGGUAGAAAUCUUGGGGCACUCUUUGAGGUUCUUUGUGUUGGAUUGAGUAUUAUGAAUCUGAAAUUAUUUGGUGUUAUUUUAGUACGAACUCUUGGAUAGAUCGAUCGGAAAGAAUAGCUUCGAGGUGGUUUCGUACCCUACAAAUGAUUUCUUCUUAUGUUCUCCGCUAGAUAAGAACUUUGGAGUGAUUCUUCGUUACACGUUGAGGGAAGGUUAUGUGAUCCAGUUAUAUUAGCAUUGUUGACAGAUUGCACUAGCGAAAGUACGGACCCUAGGCUUCAUUUUCAAGCAUUGCAAUACCGUUUUUGUGCCCGUUUUCUAUUUGUUACCUUGCUGUUUUUAUUUAUUCAGAUUAUAAGAAUAUAUUUCUACCAUCCAUAUUACACUUUUAUCACCAUCUCUUCACCGAACUAGUGCACCUAUACAAUUUUCCAUUAUAUUGGGUGUGUUGGGGACAUAAGAGAUUUCUUGUAUUCUAUUGCAGGGUUGUUUGAGAGAGACCAUCUUCAUCCUAUGCCUCCCAUAGAUUGAUAAACCUUAGGUCAUCCACUUGAGGGAAAUUUGCUACUGUCCUACAAAACUCAGUGCUUGGAGGCCCAACACGAGUCUACAAGAACAAGUUGUGUAGUAGACAUCAACCACCAUCAUCUUGUGCUUUUGAUCUCCAUCUCCAAAGCAUCUUCAUGAUCUCCAUCUUCACCGGCUUGACACCUUAUUCUCCAUCAUUGCAUCAUUGCGUCGAGGUAGUCACGCAAACUAUUGCUUUUACAACUAUCACUAACGCAUAGUGAUAAAGUAAAGCAAUUACACGGUGCUUGCACUUCAUACAAUAAAGAGACAACCCUAAGGCUCCUGUCGGUUGUCGAUAUUACUAAACAUGAUCAUCUCAUACAUCAACAUAUAUCACAUCACAACAUGCCCUACAAAAAUAAGUUAGACGUUCUCUACCUUGUUGUUGCAAGUUUUACGUGGCUGCUAUGGGCUUCUAGCAAGAACCGUUCUUAACUACGCGAAAACCACAAUGGUGAUUCAUCAAGUUUGUUGUUUUAACAUUAUUCAAGGACCGUCCAUAGUCAAAUUUGAUUCAACUAAAGUAGGAGAAACAGACAUCCGACAACCACCUUUUAUGCAAAACUAGUUGCAUGUCAGUCGGUGGAACCGGUCUCAUGUGCGUGGACAUGUAAGGUUGGUCUGGGCCGCUUCAUCUCACAAUAACGCUGAAUCAAAAUAAGACAUUGGUGAUAAGCAGUAUGACUAUCACCUCCCACAACUCUUUGUGUUCUAUUCGUGCACAUCAUCUACGCAUAGACCUGACUCGGAUGCAACUAUUAGCGAACGUUGCAUGGAAAACAAAAAAAAUCUACGCACACGCAAGAUCUAUCCAUGGGGAUGCAUAAGGAGGGGGGAAGUUUGUCUACGUACCCUCGUAGACCAUAAGCGGAAGAGUUUAACAACGCGGUUGAUGUAGUCGAACUUCUUUGCGCUCCAACCGAUCAAGUACCGAAUGCACGGCACCUCCGCGUUCUGCACACGUUCAGCUCGGUGACGUCCUCCACCUUCUUGAUCCAGCAAGAUGGCGAGGUAGUAGAUGAGUUCCGGCAGCAGGACGGCAUGGUGAUGCUGAUGAUGAUGCAAUCUCUGUAGGUCAUCGCCUAAGCACUACGAAAAUAUGACCGAGGGAGUAAAUGGGGGGACAGUGGUGCCGCACACGGCUAGGAAAUUGUCUAUUGUGUGCUAGGCCCCCCCCCACAUAUAUAUAUAUAGGUGGGAGGGAUGGAGAAGCAGCCAAGGGGGGCGCCCAAGUAGGAGGAAUCCUACUUGGGGUCUCUCCCAUGCCGCGCCCCUUGCCUUAUAUAGGUGCGGGGAAAAGGCAAGGGAGGGUGGCGCCCCCCUUUUCCUUUCUCCCAUGAGUGGGAAAGGAAGGAGGGGCUAGCCCUCCCCCCUUUCUCUCCCUAGGGCUGACCGGCUAGGGAGAGGGGAGAACCAACCCCCUGUGGGCUGGUAUGUCCCUCCCUUGGCCCAUUAAUCCCAUAACACCUACCGGAGGUGUCCGGAACCCCUUUCGGUGACCCGAUGGCUACCCGGUGCAUCCCGAAACCCUUCUGGUGUCCGAAUACCAUCUUCCUAUAUAUCAAUAUUUACCUAUCGACCAUUUCGAGACUCCUCGUCAUGUCCGUGAUCUCAUCCGGGACUCUGAACAACAUUCGGUCACCAAAUCACAUAGCUCAUAUAACAUUAUAUCGUCAACGAAUGUUAAGCGUGCAGACCCUACGGGUUCGAGAACUAUGUAGACAUGACUGAGACACCUCUCCGAUCAAUAACCAAUAGUGGAACCUAGAUGCCCAUAUUGGCUCCUACAUAUUCUACUGUCGGAUUUCGGGUUCCGGUAGACCCUUGAGGUUCGAACACUGGGGUGCGCGCGGAGAUUUUGCCUUCUACCUACCUGCACCCCUCCACCUCGCUAAGAUCUAAGCUAUGGAAAGAACAACACAAGAGACACAGGGUUUAUACUGGUUCGGUCCACCGUUGUGGUGUAAUACCCUACUCUAGUGUGUGGAGUGGUGGAUUGCCUCUUGGGCUGAUGAUGAUGAGCAAUACAAGGAAGAACAGCCUCGCGAGGGUCUGUUCUUGGCUGGGGCGAUGAACUGCUGGGAGGAGUUCAGUCACCCUUCUCUCUCUCUCUCUUCACAAUUGUUGAUCUGAUUCGAUCUCCUCUCUACUCGAUCAUUAGUCUCGAUCCCCAACCUCUCGAUGCUUGGUCUCGAUCUCCUCUCCCCCGAUCCUGUGGGUGGCUGGUCCUAUUUAUAGAGGCCCUGGUCCUCUUCCCAAAUAUCGAGCGGGAAGGGAGCCAACAAUGGCGGGCUAAUUUGAAGGGGGACAGCUAGUACCAGCUAUCCUGACAAAAGUAGUCUUCGCCUGCACAAACCUCUGGUGGUGACGCCGUCUUGGGCUCCAUAAUGACCUCCAUCUUGCAGUCCUCCUGGUCUUGGUCUUGUUGCACCGAAAUGGCAACCUUUGCCUGAUGCCUCGGUACUCCGCGGCUACGCUUGCCCCCUUUGCACCAAAGAGGAAAGGAGGACACUGCGCGGGCUGGCACCCGCCUGGCGCCCUUGGUCGUCAUGGCUUGCAUCACGGGCACCUUGUGAGGUACCCCGCCUUGAUCUCUCCGCCUCCUUGCGAGCCAGCCUGGUGAGGCCGUGCCUGAGGAAGCUCCGCGUCGUCCGCCCCGCGAGGCUUGGCCCCUCGCGAGGGUCUUGGGUCUGUGUUGGUGAAGAUUGUCCGUGUUGGGCCCCCCUUUGAGCCACGUUGCAGGCCGCAGGCAGGCAAGUCUGGGGACCCCCGUUCCCAGAAUGCCGACAGUAGCCCCCGGGCCCAAGGCGCACCCGGACUUGGCCGUGCGGGGAGGCGGAAGGGCAAGAGCGAAGCACCGCGGGCCCUAACAGCCUGCAGCCUUGGGCGCCGCGUGGCGGUUGAUUGGACGUGGGUGUCUCCACUUCCCCAUGGUGCCUCGGCAACUGCACGGAUUGGACAAGUCCCUGCAUGCAAAGUGGGUCAUGAUUACCUGCGAUCGUGGAGGUCGGCGGUUGGCCUUCGCCGGCCAUAAGUACGGAACGACACGCGCCCUUCUAGUCCAUCCCUCCUUGCUUCUCCUUCUUCCCGGUCCUUGCUCUGUCUUGCUGUGAUGGCUCCGAUCCGCCGGUUCCCGACGGCAGAGAAGGGAAAGGCUCCCCGAGAGGAACCAGACCCGCUCCCGCCGAAGAAACGGCUCGUCCUCCGUGGCCUGGAUGAGGGGGCCCAUCAGGUGGUGUCGAGGCCUUGGUGCGAGCGGGCACCGCCGGGGUUCCCGCUUCCCUUGUACGCCCACAUCGAGGGCCCUGGAGGAGCUGAUGCUGAUCGCCACGGGCGGCGCCGCUGUCGGCGCCGACGGGUCACGAAGGUGUGGGUCGUCCCCCUUGGGGUCCACACCGAGGGCUCCUCCCGAGAGUUCGUGCUCCACUUCGCCAUGCCUCCUCAGUCUUGGAUUCGCCUUCCUCCCUUCUUUGCCUCCAUCAUCCCGCAGGGAGAACUCCUGGAGCUUUGGCUGCAGCACGCCGGCUGCAGCACCCUCGCGACCGAGGCAGAGGUCGCGGUCGUUGCCCCGGGCGAGGUCUUCAUGACUCGAGGCUGGAGCGAAAUCGCCCGGGUUUGCAGGACAAGAGGCGCCUUCGCGAUCCACUUGGAGUACGACGGUGCUUCGGUGAUGUUCUUCAAGGUCUUCGAUGCGAACGGGCGCCGGCUGGAGUGCUUCCCCAGGAGAGGUGGCCGGGACCCUGCUGCGGCGAGGACUGGGCCCGCCGACCGCUCCCUUGGCGGCUCCUCAGGCGGUGGAGGCGUCGGAGGUUCCAGCGACUCCGGCGAGCUCUUUGCGACUCCGGAGACGAGCGGAGAUAGCUACGAGCCCCCGAGUCGGCGCCGCUCCUGGAGCAGGGCGGGCUCGUCAGGCCGCUGCCGACUCUGAUCUGGAUGGGGUUGGCGCCGGUGCUUGAUGGCCCACUGUUGAUGAUGGCGUCUUUUGCAGGGGCGCACGUAGUUAGUGUCCCUUUAGGAUCUGUUCCCUGCGAGGAAUCAAAGACGCGUCCCGUGGGGGCUUGUAAGGUGCCUGUGAUCCUGUUUUGUUAAUAUAACCCUUGUCGUAGAAUUGUGCGAGUUGCUCAUUCCGUCUUAGCUCAGUUCUCCCUUUCGAACCUCACGAGGGCUUGGUGCUCUGCGCCGACAGGUCCCAGUCCCAAGGCGGCUUCAGCCGUCGCUGGUAUGCCAGGUCGCGAUGCCGUGGUCAAGGCUAGGAGGUGAGCGACCUGGAGUCCGGUAAGAGCCCCUGAGUCGCGAUGCUCAGGAGGUCCCCUUUGGCGCUCAAGCAGCCAUCGUUCGGUGAGAAAGGGGAGCGGCGUCGCUAACACGGGAUUGCAUUAGGUGCGGGGAUGGUGCCACGGUAGCUGGCGCUUCCGGGUGGUGACUUAUCUCGAGAAUCAGGGGUCGCUCUCUGGUGUGUCGCCGGGUCCGUGCAUCGACAGGCGUGAGGUUGCUCGGCGAGGUCCUCGCGUGUCCCUCCCCUCUCGCCUUUGCUCCCCUUUCUGCUCUACGUCCUCGGGUCACAGCCCUCGAGCGAGUCUCAGCCGUCGCUGGUAUGCCAGGUCGUGAUGCCGUGGACAAGGCCAGAUGGUGAGGGCUGGAGAGNNNNNNNNNNNNNNNNNNNNNNNNNNNNNNNNNNNNNNNNNNNNNNNNNNNNNNNNNNNNNNNNNNNNNNNNNNNNNNNNNNNNNNNNNNNNNNNNNNNNNNNNNNNNNNNNNNNNNNNNNNNNNNNNNNNNNNNNNNNNNNNNNNNNNNNNNNNNNNNNNNNNNNNNNNNNNNNNNNNNNNNNNNNNNNNNNNNNNNNNNNNNNNNNNNNNNNNNNNNNNNNNNNNNNNNNNNNNNNNNNNNNNNNNNNNNNNNNNNNNNNNNNNNNNNNNNNNNNNNNNNNNNNNNNNNNNNNNNNNNNNNNNNNNNNNNNNNNNNNNNNNNNNNNNNNNNNNNNNNNNNNNNNNNNNNNNNNNNNNNNNNNNNNNNNNNNNNNNNNNNNNNNNNNNNNNCGUGCAAGCAGUUCACGCGGAUGAGAGUGAAGGAGACACCGCAAGGGCCUCGCCUGACGCAGCUCCUUUAAGAGAUCCUGUAGACCCAUCAGAGAAAGAAUGAGGGGUUGCCACGACAAUUGACAGUCAGCCGUUGGUUGCUUCCGAGGGGUAAUGAGGCACUGAAAGCUUGACGAGGUGGCGCCAUGCGGGGCUGCCGCGGCUAGAGCUCGGCCAUUCAGGUUUGUCGGCGUUGCAGGGACGGACCCGUGCGCAAGCGUCGUGCCGUUUGGGAGCAGUUCCGUCAGUUGAGCGGGCAACUAGGUCAAGCACAUUAUCCGCGAAGGAGUGGAUUCAUUCAAAUAGAUGCUGGGAAGGCGGACAUCACUGGGUCAGGCCCGAGCGACUUGGGGAUCAUGCAGCCCGAGGGGCGCCCCCAACAAGGUAAGCUAACAACAUGAAAUAAAAGGGAUACACGCCGCAGGGACAGACCCACGCAGUCUGGGAGUAAUGCAGCCCUGGGGGGCGCUCCCAGCUAGAAGUGAAAACUUGAAAGAUGUCACCUGAUGACGUUGAGGACGAAGGGGUGUUGGUGUAGCAGACUCGGUGGGCUGCGGAAGCCGAUCCUCACGAGCCCCCAGGCCCAGGGGCCUCGGGAGGCUCCGGAGGCGCUGGUGGCUCCUCGCGGACCAUCUCCAUCUCCGCCAGGGCUGCGGAACGCCUGGCCUCUUGUGCCUCCAUGAUGCCCCUCAUGAGGCGCUGAUACGUGGCAACCGCGUUCGGCAAGCCGUAAGGCAUGCGAACGUAGAUAUGGGGUGGACCUCCGCAGCGCCCCACUCGCGAGGGACAGAGGCGCUCCAGAGAGGUGACUCGAUUGAGCCCUGGUAUGUCGAUGCAGAUGCGCAGCCCACCAUCCUCGCCUGGAUGGGGAGCCACUGCUGCUAGGCGGCGGCCGCCUUUCAUGACUCUUGACUGCUGUAGCUCCUGAAUGCCUUGCUGACGAACUCCUGAGGGUCUGGCUCUCCUUGCCUUACUCCUUCUUGAGGGAAACGUGCUUCGAAACACACCUCCAUGUGGUGCCCAAGCGCCUCCCUCAUGACCUUAGCCAGGUCGGUGGCCCUCCAGGGGAGAGCCCCCGAGCCCUGCCUGAGGAGGGCGCCGGGCGCGCUUUCCUAUGUGAUGGAAGGAGGUUCCCCCUGGGCAGGCGUGGGCCCAGAGGGGCCUGCCUCCUGAGGGGUCGAGCCGGACGAUGUCUUCUUCUUCUUGGGGGCGGUCUUGGGAAGCCUCCUGCUUCCGCGAUCCGGGUCUUCCAGUGACGCGGCCUGAAAGGCUCGUUCCAGGGAACACACCGCGUCCUUCUCUUCACAGGGCACCGUGAUGACUCCGCCACUUCCUGGCAUCUUGAGGAUGUUGUAGCCGUGGUGAGUUACGGCCAUGAACUUGGCCAGCGCCGGGUACCCAAGGAUGGCGUUGUACGGCAGGCGAAUGUGAGCGACGUUGAAGUCGAUGAGCUCGGUGCGGUAGUUGUUGCAUGCCCCGAAGGUGACAGGGAGGCGUACCUACCUAAUCAGGACCGUGGAGCCAUCGGUGAUUCCGGAGAAAGGCUUGGUUGGCUGAAGCUGGCUGUAGGGCACUUGGAGAUUGUUGAAUGUUUCCAUGGACAGGACGUUGAGCCCUGCCCCGCCAUCGAUGAGGGUCCUGGUGACCACCAUGUUGCUGAUGAUUGGGGAACAAAGCAUCAGGAGGACUCCGGCUGUAGCCGCACACUUAAGCUGAUCUGCUGAGCUGAACGUGAUGGCGCACGCCGACCACCUGAGAGGGCGCGUGGCUUCGAGCUUGGGGAGGACUGCAUUCACUUCGCGGGCGAACUGCUUGAAGAUGCGUUGAGAGGCUGGGGCUUGAGCCCCACCCAGGAUGCAGGCGAUCGCGCGCGGCUCUUGGAAGCCCCCAGCCCCCUCGUCCUGGUGGCGGUCCUCGUUUCUCCUUGGCUGCGGCGGCAGCGGAGGGAGGCCUGCGUUGCCUUGCGGGCGAUCCUCGCGAGGCUGAUCCCUCCAGUCUCCCUCGCGAGGUGGGUCUUGCCAGCGAUCCUCGCGAGGUUGAUCGCGCCACCCUUAGCGCGGGCCACGGUCUUCCCAGCGUCCUGCGUUCCUUCCUCCUCCUCGACCAUAGCCCCGGUCACCGCGGUCAGGGCGACGGCUGAUCCUUCCUUCUCGCACGGCUCAGAGCUCUUGACAUUCGUUGGUGUUGUGGGUGUGGAGGUCAUGGUACACACAGUACCGACUGCCCUUGGAAGGUUUGGGCUGAUCUCUGCCCCGCUUGGUGUCUGGUUCUGUCGCGAGCACGGCAGCCCCCUUGCGCUUCACAUCCUUGGCCUUGGGCUUCUUCUCUUCUGGAUCUGCGGCAGGCAGCUCGAGGAGGGAGAGACGCCCUUCCUCAGCCCUGGCGCACUUGGUUGCCAAGUUGAACAGCUCCAAGGAAGUGCACAGGUCUUCAUGCAUCGCCAGCUCCUCCUUCAGCUUGACAUCGCGCACGCCGUCGGAGAAGGCUGAGAUGAUGGCCUCCUCAGUCACCUUGGGAAUCUUGAGGCGUGCGUUGUUGAAGCGCUGGAUGUACUUCUACAGGGUCUCCCCGGGUUGUUGCUUGAUGCGGCGCAUGUCGCUCACGGUGGGUGGCCAGUCAUGAGUACCUUGGAAGUUGGCGAUGAAGCGGGUGCGCAUCUCGUCCCAGGAGGAGAUCGUGCCUGGAGCCAGGUUCCGGAGCCAGGUGCGGGCCCCGUCCUUGAGCGCCAUGGGAAACCAGUUCGCCAUGACCUUCUCGUCUCCGUUGGCGGCUUCGAUGCCUAGCUCGUAGAGCUGGAGAAACUCCGCAGGGUUAGCCGUGCCGUCGUAACGAGGAGGCAGGUCUGGCUUGAACUUGCCGGGCCACGCGACGCUGCAUAGCUCGCUGGUGAAGGCACGGCAGCCUGUUGUGGCCAUUGGGGGCAUUGGGUGACAGAGAGCUUGGUCUUGCAUGUCCCCACACGCUGCAGCUGGGAGCAGCGCGGGGUCUUGACGUGCGGGAGCAGGAGCAUGGUCGCGACGUGCUGGAGCAGGGAGCGCCCAGGCAGCUUCUUGCGGGCGAGGGACUUCUUGGCAGCUCUGCUCUUGCCGUGCUGGCACCUGACGGAGCGGGUUCCUCCCAGGGGCCACGAGCCUUGGAGCCAUGGCUCCUUCUUGAGGAGGAGGCGGACGGGGCGCCCCCGGAGCCUCGUCGCCCGCGUGGGGUGGGGUGCGGUGCAGCGGAACGGACGGCGCAGGAGAGCCCCCUGCGGCGCGGACGAGCUCGGCGACGCGGUCGAGCCAUUCUUCAUAGACGUCGUCGAUGGGAUGGUAGCGCAGGAGCUCGUUUGCCGCGAUGAGCGCAGCUCGAGCCUCCAUGGGUGCGCAGAGCGCGCGGGACGAAGAACCAGCUGGGGUGAGCGAGGGAGUAGUGGUGCGGCCGUCUUGCCGCACGGACGGAUGCUGAAACGAUGCUUGCUGAUCGUCCCCCGCUGGGCUGGUGGCGGCGUUGACGGCAGGUGACGGGGAACGGCGAGGACGCCCGCUGACAGGAGCCUUCUAGGCGACGCGGGAAGCGAGAGCGGCCCGGCGCUCAGCGCGGGCCCGGCGAGCGUCAGACAUGGGCACGAUGGUCGGAGGAGAACGGGGUGGUGGAAGACGAAUUCUGGCGCACCCCUACCUGGCGCGCCAAAUGUCGGAUUUCGGGUUCCGGCAGACCCUUGAGGUUCGAACACUGGGGUGCGCGCGGAGAUUUUGCCUUCUACCUACCUGCACCCCUCCGCCUUGCUAAGAUCUAAGCUAUGGAAAGAACAACACAAGAGACACAGGGUUUAUACUGGUUCGGGCCACCGUUGUGGUGUAAUACCCUACUCUAGUGUGUGGAGUGGUGGAUUGCCUCUUGGGCUGAUGAUGAUGAGCAAUACAAGGAAGAACAGCCUCGCGAGGGUCUGUUCUUGGCUGGGGCGAUGAACUGCUGGGAGGAGUUCAGUCACCCUUCUCUCUCUCUCUUCACAAUUGUUGAUCUGAUUCAGUCUCCUCUCUACUCGAUCAUUGGUCUCGAUCCCCAACCUCUCGAUGCUUGGUCGCGAUCUCCUCUCCCCCGAUCCUGUGGGUGGCUGGUCCUAUUUAUAGAGGCCCUGGUCCUCUUCCCAAAUAUCGAGCGGGAAGGGAGCCAACAAUGGCGGGCUAAUUUGAAGGGGGACGGCUAGUACCAGCUAUCCUGACAAAAGUAGUCUUCGCCUGCACAAAGCUCUGGUGGUGACGCCAUCUUGGGCUCCACAAUGACCUCCGUCUUGCAGUCCUCCUGGUCUUGGUCUUGUUGCACCGAAAUGGCAACCUUUGCCUGAUGCCUCGGUACUCCGUGGCUGCGCUUGUCCCUUUGCACCAAAGAGGAAAGGAGGACACUGCGCGGGCUGGCACCCGCCUGGCGCCCUUGGUCGUCAUGGCUUGCGUCACGGGCACCUCGUGAGGUACCCCACCUUGAUCUCUCCGCCUCCUCGCGAGCCAGCCUGGUGAGGCCGUGCCUGAGGAAGCUCCACGUCGUUCGCCCCGCGAGGCUUGGCCCGUCGCGAGGGUCUUGGGUCUGUGUUGGUAAAGAUGGGCCGUGCUGGGCCCCCCUUUGAGCCACGCCGCAGGCCGCAGGCAGGCAAGUCUGGGAACCCCCGUUCCCAGAACACCGACAUCUACGAAGAUCUUUAUCGGUCGAACCGUUAUGACAACAUACGCAAUUCCCUUUGUCCAUCGGUAUGUUACUUGCCCGAUAUUCGAUCGUCGGUAUCUUCAUACCUGGUUCAAUCUUGUUACCAGCAAGUCUCUUUACUCAUUCCGUAAUACAUCAUCUCGUAACUAAGUCCUUAGUCAUUUGCUUGCAAGCUUGUGAUGUGUAUUACCGAGAGGACCCAGAGAUACCUCUCCGAUACUCGGAGUGACAAAUCCUAAUCUCGAUCUAUGCCAACUAAACAAACACCUUCGGGGAUACCUAUAGAGCAUCUUUAUGAUCAACCAGUUAUGUUGUGACGUUUGAUGGCACACCAGGUAUUCCUCUAGUAUCCGGAGUAGCAUAAUCUCAUAGUCGGAGGAAUAUGUAUUUGACAUGAAGAAAGCAAUGGCAAUAAACUGAACAACCAUUAUGCUAAGCUAAUGGAUGGGUCUUUUCCAUCACAUCAUUCUCCUGAUGAUGCGAUCCCGUUAUCAAAUGACAACACAUGUCUAUGGUUAGGAAACCUUAACCAUCUUUGAUCAAUGAGCUAGUCUAGUAGAGGGUUACUAGGGACACUGUAUUUGUUUAUGUAUUCACACAUAUAUUUAAGUUUCCGGUCAAUACAAUUCUAGCAUGAAUAAUAAACCUUUAUCAUGAAUAAGGAAAUAUAAUAAUAAACAUUUUGUUAUUGCAUCUAGGGCAUAUUUCCAUCAUGUAGGUACUGUAGACAUGUUUGUGUGAGUCUCGUAUUGGUUUGAUAACCUUGGUUCUCUACUGAGAGAAAUACUAUCCGCUACUAUAUGUCUUCACCCUUCCUCUUAGGGGGAAAUCCCAACACAACUCACAAGUAGUAGGUAUCGGUAUGAGUUGCAUACUGUGAUUGCCAUGCUUAUUAUCUACUCAUGGAUUAGAUUAGUCGAAAAGGUGCUAAUAUUUCCAGCAAUCCAAAAACCUUAUUUUAGGCACUUUUCAAUUCAAGGCUUUGUCACUACACUGAAAUCGGAAAAGUUACUGGUAUGCAUUUUAAGUGUUGGCAGAUGAGGAUCACCUUGUGGCUCACAAUUAUGAAUGUUUUCUGGGUCAGUGGUGUGAUUCCCAGAUGAACGGUUGAUCCUAAUAAGGAUAGGGCGUUCAGGGAAGCAACCACUGUCUUUGUGGGAGCCAGCCUUAGUGUGAUCGGAGACAAGUUGGUUGACGCAUAUCUCCAUAUGCGUGUUGCCAAAAACUUUUGGGAUGCGCUCGAAGCUAAGUUCGGCGCAACCAAUGUUGGAUGCGAACUGUAUGCUAUGGAGCAAUUCCAUGACUAUAGGAUGGUUGAUAAUCAUUCUAUAUUAGACCAGGCUCAUGAGAUACAAUCCAUCGCUAAGGAGCUAGAGCUCUUGAAGUGUGAGUUACUGGACAAGUUUCUCGCGACUUGCAUUAUUGCAAAACUCCCUCCUGGAUGGAGGAACUUUGCUACCUCUCUCAACCACUUGAGAUGUGAAUUCUCUGUUGAGGAUGUCACCAGUCAUCUAAGUGUUGAGCAUAACUAGAGAGCAAAGGACUCACACAUUAAAGGGGCAGAGGGAUCUUCUAGCGCCAAUGUGGUGCAGAACAAUUUCCACAAGUUCAAGGGAAAGAACAUUGUCCAACAAAAUACUACCUUCGAGAAGAAUGGUAAGAAGAAAUACAAAAGGAGAGAUGGCUGAUUUACUUGUGGUCUAGGGAUUUUUUUGGCAAAAAGUGCCCAAAGAAGUACAAGAAGCCAGGACAGGACUCCAAGUCUGUCAAUGUGACUAUGAGCAAUAGAGAUGGGGCAAAUGGGUAUUGUAAUUUGUUUACGGUACUUCCAGUGUGUCGAUCCACCGAUUGGUGGACUGACAUAGGGGCUAAUAUUCACGUGUGUGCUGAUAUGUCAUUGUUCUCUUCUUACGAGGUCGCGCGAGAUUGCUCCAUCCUGAUGUGGAAUGGCUCACAUGUUUUUGUUCAUUGUGUUGGCACGAUAGAUGUUAAGUUUACUUUGGGAAAAUCGUGCAACUGAAGAACAUGCAACAUGUCCCCACCAUCAAGAAGAAUCCCGUUAGUGGCUCCCAUCUUUGUAAAGAAGGGUUUAAGUUAGUAUUCGAGUCCAGUAAAGUAGUCAUAUAUCGAUAUGGACUAUUUGUUGGAAAAAGAUAUGAUUGCAGAGGUUUGUUCCUCCUUUACCUAGCGGCUUUCUGUAAUAAAGUCAUGCACCAAAUUUAAUCUAGUGAGAAGAACCUGAGGUUUGGCAUUCACAUAUUUUUCACAUUAAUUUUGGUUGUAUGACCAGGCUAGCUAAGAUGGAUCUAAUCCUGAGUUUCACUUUAUACAAAGGCUCUAAGUGCCAUUUGUGUGCGCAAGCAAAGCAACCUCGUAAGCCUCACAAGCCUGCGGAGGAGAGACACCUAGCACCACUAGAGCUCAUGCAUCCAGAUCUUUGCGAGAUGAAUGGUGUGUUGACUAAAGGUGGAAAGUAAUAUUUCAUGGCACUGAUUGAUGAUUCCACUAGACGAUGCUAUGUGUAUUUUUUAAACACUAAGGAUGAGGCUCUACACUACUUUAAAAUCUAUAAGGCGGAAGUUGAGAACUAACUUUAAAAUAAAAUAAAACAAGUAUGGUCUGAUCAUCAUGGAGACUGCUUUUCUAAUGAGUUUGAUUUAUUCUAUGCAUAAAAUGGUAUUAUUCAUGAGCGGAUGCCUCCCUAUUCACCCCAGCCAAACGGGUUGUCGAAUGAAAAAACCAUACUCUGACAUAUUUGGUUAACAUCAUGUUAGAUACAUAUGGUUUAUCCAAGGCAUGGUGGGGGGAAGUUGUAUUGACAUCAUGUGUUGUCCUGAAUAAAGUUCCCACAAAGUAUAAUGAGACUACUCCCAUGAGCAAUGGGAGAAGAAAAGAACUACACUCUCUUACAUGCAGACUUGGGGCUGUUUGGCAAAAGUCAACAUGCUGAUAACCAAAAAGCGUAAGUUAGGAACAAAGUCUGGGGACUUUGUUUUUCUAGGCUAUGUCAAGCACAACGGUGGCUAUAGAUUUCUAGUGGUGAAAUCUGAUGUAUAUGAUGUGAAGGUUGGUACGAUCAUGGAGUCUAAAGAUGAUACAUUCUUUGAGGAUAUUUUCCCCAUGAGAGAUAUGCAAAGCACUUCUAGACUAGAAUCUAAUGAGACUCCAGAACCGACCAUUCGAAUGGAAUAUUAUGAGCAUAAAAGUGAUGAAAGUUCCAUGGAAAUGAUGAGGAAGCUCCUGUUAGCAUCAAGAGACAGAGGAAUGCAAAGUCCAUUGCUGAUAAUUUCCUCGUGUACCUCGUGGAUUCCAUCUUAGAGGCUUAUGCAUCACCAGAUGCUGACUACUGGAAGAAUGUGGUCCGUAGCAAGAUGGAUUCCAUCUUGGCUAGCGGGACAUGCGAAAUCGCUGAUCGUCCUUAUGGUUGCCAACCAUUGGGAUGUAAAUGGGUGUUCAAAAGGAAGUUUAGGCCUGAUGGUACUGUUGAAAAGUAUAAGAGUAGGCUUAUGGCCAAGGUUAUACCCAGAAAGAAGAAGAAGAUUUCUUUGAUACUUACUCACAUGUGGCUAGAUUGACAACCAUUCAAGUGUUACUCUCGUUGGCUGCCUCGCAUGGUCUUCUCGUUCAUCAGAUGGACGCUAAGACGAAUUUCCUUAACAGAGAGCUAGAUGAGGAAAUUUACAUGCAACAACCAAAUGGCUUUGUAGUAAAUGGUCAGGAAAGAAAGCUGUGCAAGCUAUUGAAAUCUUUGUAUGACCUGAAACAAGUGCCUAAGCAAUGUCAUGAGAAGUUCAAUACAACUUUAACAUCUAUUGGCUAUGUUGUUAAUGAAGCUGAAAAUGUGUAUACUAUCAUUAUGGUGGGGGCAAACAAGUUAGACUAUGUCUGUAUGUCGAUGACAUAUUGAUAUUUGGGACCCACCUCAAAAUCAUUGAGGAGGUCAAGGCUUUUCUAUCUCAUAACUUUGAGAUGAAAGACCUGGGUGUGGCUGGUGUUAUCUUGAACAUCAAGCUACUGAGAGAUACUGAUGGUGGAAUUACACUUUUGCAAUCCCACUAUGUUGAGAAGAUUUUGAGCCAUUUUGGAUAUUCAGACUACAAACCUUCUGCAACACCAUAUGAUCUCACGUGGUUGGUUCAUUUAUGUACCUACCUUGUGCUACUUGGCCUGACAUUUCAUUUGUUGUGUGCAAGCUGAGCAGGUUUGUGUCCAAUUCGGGAGAUGUGCAUUGGCAUGCAGUUGAGCGAGUCAUACGUUAUUUGCAAGGUAUUAUGAACUACGGAAUUCACUAUUCUUGGUAUGCGACGGUACUUGAAGGGUAUAGUGAUUCAAAUUGGAUAUCUAAUGCUGAUGAGAUGAAAGCCACAAGUGGUUAUGUUUCACACUUGGUGGUGGUGGUGCUAUUUCAUGGAAGUCUUGCAAGCAGACGAUCUUAACGAGAUCGACUAUGAAAGCAGAACUCACAUCAUUAGACACAUCAUGCGUCGAAGCGGAAUGACUUCGAGAGUUUUUGAUGGAUUUGUGAGUGGUAGAUAAGCCAUUCCCGGCUAUCCUUAUGAACUAUGUCAAUCAGAUAGUGGUUGCGAAGGCAAAGAGUUCAAAGGACAACAUGCAAUCCUCAAAGCAUAUAAGAAGAAGAUUGAAAUCUAUCGGGUAAUCAUGAAACUCCAGAGUAAUAGCAUUGGAUUAUAUCCAACCGGGUAAGAAUCUGGAAGACCCCUUUACAAAAGGGCUAUCAGGAAUUAUGAUAGAAAAUGCAUCAAGGAAGAUGGGCAUGAGACCCAUGUAAGUUGCCAUGGGGGUAAUCCAACCUAUGUGAUCAAAGAUCCCAUGAAUUGGGACUUGGCAAAACAAUCCAGCAGUCAACUAAGGAGAGUACCCUUACAAACCUAUUCUGUUGGGGAUGCAAUACUCUCGUAAUCUGUAAGGCAAGCUGACUUUGUCGGAUCAUGGGUUCCGGCAAAACCCUUAAGGUUUGAACUCUGAGGUGUGCGCGAAGACCUCCCCCCCUAUCGAUCCGCGUCCUAACUUAGCCUAGAUCUCAUGAACUAACUCGAUGAACUCGCAACACAAAGGACACAAGAUUUAUACUGGUUCGGGCCACCAUUGUGGUGUAAUACCCUACUCCAGUGUGGUGGUGGUGGAUUGCCUCUUGGGCUGAGGAUGAAUAGUACAAGGGGAAGAACAGCCUCCUCAGGUUGAGGUGUUCUUGUGCUUGGUGCACUUGUGUGGCUGAGGAUGAUCUUGGAUUCUCCCCGCCUAUGGUGGUGGCUAGUCCUAUUUAUAGAGGCCCUGGUCCUCUCCCCAAAUAUUUAGCGGGAAGGAAGCCAACAACAGCCAAUUUGAAAGGGGACAUCUAGUACAAGCUAUCCUGACAAAAGGUGCUCUUCGCCUGCCAAAGGUUCUGGUGGUGACGCCGUCCUGGGCUCCAUGUUGACCUCCGUCUUGCCGUCCUUCUGGUCUUGGUCUCGUUGCACCAAUAUGGAAACCUUUGCUUGAUGCCUCGGUACUCCGCGCAUGCGCUUGCCCCCUUAGCACCAAAGGGGAAACAAGGACACUGCGCGCGCUCGCGCCCGCCUGGUCUCAAUCGUCAUGGCUUACGUCACGGAAACCUCACGAGGUUUGCCAACCUUGAACUCUCCGCCCCUCACGAGCCGGCCUGAUGAGGUUGCUCCUGAGGAGGUCUUGUGUCGUCUGCCUCGCGAGGCUUGGCCCCUCGCGAGGGUCUUGAUUCCUUGUUGAUGAAGAUGGGUCAUACAGGCCUGCCAGCAAAGCCACGCCAUGGGCCGCAGGCAGGAAAGUCUGGGGACCCCAGUUCCCAGAAUGCCGACAGUAGCCCCCAGGCCCAAGGCGUGCUCGGGCUUGGCUUCGAGGUGAAGCCAUGGGUCAAGUGCGGAGCGCCACGAGCCCUAAUAGCCUGCGGCCUCGGUCGACGCGUGGCGGUUGAUUGGACAUGGGCGUCUCCGCUUUGCCAUGCUGCCUCGGCAACUACCCGACUGUCAAAAGGCUGGCGUAGACAACGUUCGCCUUCACUGUUUCCUUUCACCUUGCUCAAAUCCCCUUUCUUGCUCCCCGCUUCCGAAAUCUCCAGAUCCGCUCCCAUCCUUUCAUGCAUCAGCGACCCAUGGCGCUCCGGAGGGUCAAGCCCGCCUCGUCGCCGGUGUCGUCUGCAGUGAAGGCUUGCUACGAACCUGCCCUCGACUCGCCCAACGUCUCGGAGAAAAACCUCGCCGCCACGCGCCUGCUGACGGCGGGGGAGAGUAAUGAAAGUGGGAAGACGGAGCUCCAGGUUGCCUCCAACAUGCCGGAGCCCGAGGGGAGCGUGUUCUUUCCCUUCUUCACGAGCAGUAUUGCCGCCGGGUUGGUUCCUCCCUUCUCUGAUUUCUUCUAUGAGGCCCUUGAUCACUACAGGCUGCAGGUGUUGCAUCUCCAUCCCAACUCCGUCCUUCUCUUGUCCAUAUUCGCCUACUACUAUGAGGCGUAUCUGGGCAUGAUGUCGUCCGUGGCCCUGCUGCGCCACUUCUUCUUCCUCCGUGCCAGCGAGGGCCAUAUCUCCGGGUGCGCUAAUUUCAUCAUGGCUGGCAAGGCCAACUCGAUCUCAAACACCGGGAAGAAGGCUGACAACCUCAGGGCCAAAUGGGUCAUGAUGAGCGCCAAGCGUGUCCACCCGCGCUUGGUGCUACCUACGGAGAAGCCCCGGGACGACAAGGCGUGGUCCCGCGCGAAGCUCACCGAUGAGCGGGCAAUGUUGGUGCUGGAGUAGAUGAAGUUCGACCUGAAGCCCGACAAUGUGAAGGCGGCGAGGAUUACAGGGACCAUGCUCCUGAGGGAGUUUCUGGCGCUGCGCGUGGCCCCGCUGCAGGCCUGUUCGCCCCUUGUGGGAACUCGGGGGUGAAGAGGACAAGGUUCGCUUGAGCUCGGAGGCCUUGUCCAGCAAGGAGCUGACCGCAACUCUCUGCCUCCUGGUUGGGGACGAUCAGGAGUAUCCUCCGAAUGUCUUCACUCCCUUGUUCCGCUACAAGGACACUGCACUGAUCGUGGCCUCCAAGCCGACCUUUGACGGACGCGGUCUGGUUCCGUCGGUGCUCACCGGGGGCCCAGCGGCACCGGUGCCGGUGAACCUGUCUUCUGGUGAGUCCCACGAGGAAGAAGAGGGGGGAAGACUCGGAGGUGACCCCCGAAGGGACGGGGGAGACCUCCCCCCUAAGUAAGGCUGACAUCCUCCGCGCCUUCCCUGACAACGACGAGGCCAACACUUCCCAGGAGAAGGAGGAACUGCCCGUGAUACCGAAGAGGAGCAGGUCGGCGCUGGUCCUCCGAGAUUCUGCUGCUGCUCCGGUGUCGGCUCGAGCCGCUUCUGGUUCAACUUCCGCUCCCGCUUCAGCUUCUGGAGCAGGUGCGGCAGCGCCUCGGGUCACGAUGCUCUCCGGCUUCAAGCUUACUAAGCGGAAGGUGGACUAUGUUGUUGUAGACCAGUAAGUGCCCCGCCUCGCCUUGUUCCUGCUGUUGAUGCUCGUUUCCGACUCUCUUUCCUUCCUGCGUAAUCAGGCUGUCGUCUGCGGUGAAGAGGAGAAGGGAGAGCGAGGUGGUGCCGCUUGAGUCCGCGUUGCCUCCUAUGAUCGUGCCCUUCUCCAUGGGCAAAGGAGGGGAUGGUGCUCAUGCUUCUCUAGCCCGGUUGUCCUCGUGAGGCCCGGUGAAGCAUACUCAUGAGGAGUCAGCCCCCGAAGCGCUGCUGGCUCAGGAGGUGCCGGUGUCCAGCACGGCUGGUGAGGUUCAGGAGCCCUUGAUCUUCCAGGCUCUGGUGAUGACGUCGCCCCCUUCUCAUGCUGUGCCCCUGGCUCCAGGUUCUUCUGCUUCCUCAGCCGUCCUGGAGAGCGCCUUUUCGGAGAUGGCCCGACUGCGGGAAGAUCUCCAGGGCACGGACUCGCACCUGGUGGCAGGGCGCUUGGAGCUGGUCUCUGGCUGGCUUCACUCUGACUCGGCGGUCCGAGCGUCACUGAGCCAGGCCGCGGCGGCCUCCGAGAAGGAGAAGCUGGCCGCCGCCAAAGCUGCGGCUGAUCACGAGGCAGCAUUGAAGGAUGCCGAGGCCACCAGCGGCCGCUGCCGAGAGCUGGAGGAUGAGCUGAAGGGCCUGCGCGACCAUCAUGCGGAAGAAGCACGCGACCGCCAGGCGAAGGAGGAGGAGAUGAAGGCCCGGGAGGAUGCCAUCAAAGGCCGCGACGCUGAGCUGGGGGAGCUGGCGAAGGCACAGGCAGCGGAGCGCAACCGGCUAGAGGAGUUGGAGCGGAAGGCGAGGGUGAAGGUGGCCGACCUUGAUGCCAAGGCGAGGGUCCUUGCCGAAGACCGCGCGGCCUUCUCGACCUUUGAGGAGAGGUCCCGCGUGGCACUGAAGAAACUGUACGAGAAGGGCUUGGAGAAGCUGCUGGCCAGCGACGAGGAUGGCCCUGCUCAGCUGCUUCCCUUCCUGGUGAAGGCGUUCGAGGAGGUCGUGGAAGGCGUCGGUCCUAUGGCAGAGGCAGAGGCUCGCGUCCUUUCCUCGGCCGCGCUGACACGGUUGUUCAGCCACCUGCACCUUCGCGACCCCAGCGCUCGUCUUGACAAGCUGCUGGAACCUAUCGCUAACGAACACUAUGUGGCUGCCGCCGCAGCCGUGAAGGGUUAAGUGGAGGCCUUGCUGAAGAAGUUCGAUGCCUUCGCCCCCGCGCCCUCGACCGGUGAUGCAGGUGAAGGCGACGCUACCCAGGAGGGGGCACAUUUUGCAGGUGCCGGCGGUGUCCACGGGUGACUUGCGCCUGCUUUUCUACUUUGUUCCUGUAACAUGCACCAUGCCUCGUGGAGGCGUUAAACUUGCGUUUGAUAUUGUGAGGACAAUAUGUAUUGUAAUAUUUGCUUCGAGAUUUUGCGAUUUUCUUCCUAUUUGCUUCGUGUUCUGCGUUGGCAGAGCCCGGCCCCGCGCAUACCUCAACCGUCGUUGGGCUGACCGGAAACCAGGACGGACCAAGGAGCGAGGGGCUACGUGACUAGUUAGGCUCCUAAGUCACGAUGCUCAGGAGUCCCCCUUGACACGCAAACAGCCUAUAGGAAGGAUACGUGAGGAUAGGUUAAUGUUCUACAUCGGCAGAGCCCAGCCCCGCGCAUACCUCAACCACCGUUGGGCCGACCGGAAACCAGGACGGACCAAGGAGUGAGGGGCUACAUGACCAGUUAGGCUCCUGAGACGCGAUGCUCAGGAGUCCCCCUUGACGUGCAACAUUCUCCAUACUUGUGCCCUCGUCGAGGCUCGGCUCGGGAGGGGCGUGCGACGACCAGGUCCAGGGGACCUGGUUGGGUGGCGCACACUUGGGCAUGACCCAAGUGCAGCCCCCGUGCCCAGCCCCCUCACACAGCUCUCCCGAGGGGAGACAUUGCAGUGAGGCCGGACACUAAGCUCUGGGGCUCCCUAAGGUUGGUACGGUCAUGGGGCCGCCCUCAGUUGUUUAUCACCAGCACGGAGCGUAGUGCUUCCGCUUGUGCACGGGCAUAGCCGCUCCUCGGCAGUGUCGACGGCCAGCGAGGAGCAUGGUGCUUUGAUACGUCUCCAACGUAUCUAUAAUUUUUGAUUGCUCCAUGCUAUAUUAUCUAUUGUUUUGGACUAUAUUGGGCUUUAUUUUCCACUUUUAUAUUAUUUUUGGGACUAACCUAUUAACGGGAGGCCCAGCCCAGAAUUGCUGUUUUUUGCCUAUUUCAGUGUUUCGGAGAAACAGAAUAUCAAACGGAGUCCAAACGGAAUAAAAUCUUCGGGAACGUGAUUUUCUCACCGAACAUGAUCCGGGAGACUUGGACCCUGCUCCAAGGAACAAAAGAGGCGGUCACGAGGGUGGGGGGCGCCCCCUCCUAGGGCGCCCCCUGCCUCGUGGGCCCCUUGUUGCUCCUCUGGCGUACUUCUUCCUCCUAUAUAUACACACGUACCCCCAAACGAUUAGAACAAGAGCCAAAAACCUAAUUCCACCGCCGCAACUUUCCGUAUCCACGAGAUCCCAUCUUGGGGCCUGUUCCGGAGCUCCGACGGAAGAGGGCCGUCAUCACGGAGGGCUUAUACAUCAUCCUAGCCUCUCCGAUGAAGUUUGAGUAGUUUACCUCAGACCUUCGGGUCCAUAGUUAGUAGCUAUAUGGCUUCUUCUCUCUCUUUGAAUCUCAAUACAAAGUUCUCCCCCUCUCUCAUGGACAUCUAUUCGAUGUAAUCUUCUUUUUGCGGUGUGUUUGUUGAGAUCGAUGAAUUGUGGGUUUAUGAUCAAGUCUAUCUAUGAAUAAUAUUUGAAUCUUCUCUGAAUUCUUUUAUGUAUGAUUGGUUAUCUUUGCAAGUCUCUUCGAAUUAUCCAUUUGGUUUGGCCAACUAGAUUAGUAGUUCUUGCCAUGGGAGAAGUGCUUAGCUUUGGGUUCGAUCUUGCGGUGUCCUUUCCUAGUGACAGAAGGGGCAGCAAGGCACAUAUUGCAUUAUUGCCAUCGAGGAUAACAAGAUGGGGUUUAUUUCAUAUUGCAUGAAUUUAUCUCUCUACAUCAUGUCAUCUUGCUUAAGGCGUUACUCUGUUUUUAACUUAAUACUCUAGAUGCAUGCUGGAUAGCGGUUGAUGAGUGGAGUAAUAGUAGUAGAUGCAGAAUCGUUUCGGUCUACUUGUCACGGAUGUGAUGCCUAUAUACAUGAUCAUGCCUAGAUAUUCUCAUAAUUAUGCUCAAUUCUGUCAAUUGCUCAACAGUAAUUUGUUCACCCACCGUAGAAUACUUAUGCUCUUGAAAGAAGCCACUAGUGAAACCUAUGGCCCCCGGGUCUAUUCUCAUCAUAUCAAUCUCCAUCACUUUAAUAUUGUUUUGCUAUUUACUUUGCCUUUACUUUUUUACUUUGCAUCUUUAUACCAAAAAUAUUCUAUCUAUCAGAUCUCACUCUCGUAAGUGACCGUGAAGGGCUUGACAACCCCUAAUCGUGUUGGUUGCGAGUAGCUAUCAUUUUGUGCAGGUACGAGGGACUUGAACGUGGACUCCUACUGGAUUGAUACCUUGGUUCUCAAAAACUGAGGAAAAUACUUACGCUACUUUGCUGCAUCAUCCCUUCCUCUUCGGGGAAAACCAACGCAAGCUUAAGACAUAGCAAGAAGGAUUUCUGGCGCCGUUGCCGGGGAGUCUACGCAAAAAGUCAACAUACCAAGUACCCAUCACAAUCCCUAUCUCUCGCAUUACAUUAUUUGCCAUUUGCCUCUCGUUUUCCUCUCCCCCCAAUUCACCCUUGCCAUUUUAUUCGCCCUCUCUCUCUAUCCUCCUUCUUUGUUUGCCUCUUUUGCCCUUUUGCUCUUGUUUGCUCGUGUGUUAGAUUGCUUGUUUGUCGCGAUGGCUCAAGAUACUACUAAAUUGUGUGACUUCACCAAUACCAAUAAUAAUGAUUUCCUUAGCACUCCGAUUGCUCCUCGUACCGAUGUUGAAUCUUGUGAAAUUAAUACCGCUUUGUUGAAUCUUGUUAUGAAAGAUCAAUUUGCCGGCCUUCCCAGUGAAGAUGCCGCUACUCAUAUGAAUAGCUUCGUUGAUUUAUGUGAUAUGCAAAAGAAAAAAGAUGUCGAUAAUGAUGUCGUUAAAUUGAAGCUAUUUCCUUUUUCGCUUAGAGAUCUUGCUAAAGCUUGGUUUUUGUCUUUGCCUAAGAAUAGUAUUGAUUCAUGGAACAAGUGCAAAGAUGCUUUUAUCUCUAAGUAUUUUUCUGCCGCUAAGAUCAUCUCUCUUAGAAACGAUAUUAUGAACUUUAAACAACUUGAUCAUGAACAUGUUGCACAAGCUUGGGAGAGAAUGAAAUUAAUGAUACGUAAUUGCCCUACUCAUGGGUUGAAUUUGUGGAUGAUUAUACAAAAAUUUUAUGCCGGAUUGAAUUUUGCUUCUACAAAUCUUUUAGAUUCGGACGCGGGAGGCACUUUUAUGGAAAUCACUUUAGGAGAUGCUACUAAACUCCUAGAUAAUAUUAUGGUUAAUUAUUCUGAAUGGCACACUGAAAGAUCAUCUAAUAAAAAAGUGCAUGCGAUAGAAGAAAUUAAUGUGUUGAGUGGAAAGAUGGAUGAACUUAUGAAAUUAUUUGCUAAUAAGAGUGUUUCUUCUGAUCCUAAUGAUAUGCCUUUGUCUACUUUGAUUGAGAAUAACAAUGAAUCUAUGGAUGUGAAUUUUGUUGGUAGGAAGAAUUUUGGUAACAACGCUUAUAGAGGGAAUUUUAAUAUUAGGCCAUAUCCUAGUAAUCCUUCUAAUAAUUAUGGGAAUUCCUACAACAACUCUUAUGGAAAUUAUAAUAAUAUGCCCUCUGAUUUUGAAUCUAAUAUUAAAGAAUUUAUUUCUUCGCAAAAGAAUUUUAAUGCUAUGAUUGAAGAAAAAUUGCUUAAGAUUGAUGAUUUGGCUAGGAACGUUGAUAGAAUUGCUCUUGAUGUUGAUGCUUUAAAACUUAGAUCUAUUCCACCUAAGCAUGAUAUCAAUGAGUCUCUAAAAGCCAUGAGAAUUUCAAUUGAUGAGUGUAAAGAAAGAACCGCUAGGAUGCGUGCUUCCAAAGAUGCCUUUAUUAAAGCGUGUUCUUCCAAUUCCUAUGAAAAUCAAUAUGAAGAUCAAAAAGUUAUUGAUGUGUCUCCAAUUAAAUCUUUAUUUUGCAAUAUGAAUCUUGAUGAAACUGAAUAUGAUCUUCCUUUACCUAGAAGGCAUUCUAAAAAUUCGGAGUAUUUAGAUCUUAAUGAUGAAAUUGACGAUAGUGGGAUUGAAAGAAAUAAAAAUCUAGAUGUUGCUAAACCCACUAUAUUGGAUUUCAAGGAAUUUAAUUAUGAAAGUUGCUCUUUAAUUGAUUGUAUUUUCUUGUUGCAAUCCGUGCUAAAUUCUCCACAUGCUUAUAGUCGAAAUAAAGCCUUCACCGAACAUAUUGUUGAUGCCUUGAUGCAAUCUUAUGAAGAAAAACUUGAGUUGAAAGUUUCUAUCCCUAGAAAACUUUAUGAUGAGUGGGAACCAACAAUUAAAAUUAAAGAUCAUGAGUUUUAUGCUUUGUGUGAUUUGGAUGCUAGUGGCUCUACUAUUCCCAAGACUUUGUGUGAUUUACUAGAUUUCCGCGAUUUUGAUGAUUGCUCUCUAAACUUCCAUCUUGCGGAUUCCACUAUUAAGAAACCUAUGGGAAGAAUUAAUGAUGUUAUUAUUGUUGAAAAUAGGAAUUAUGUGCCCGUAGAUUUCAUUGUUCUUGAUAUAGAUUGCAAUCCUUCUUGCCCUAUUAUUCUUGGUAGACCUUUCCUUAGAACGGUUGGUGCGAUUAUUGAUAUGAAGGAAGGGAAUAUUAGAUUUCAAUUUCCAUUAAAAAAGGGCAUGGAACACUUUCCAAUAAAGAAAAUAAAAUUAUCAUAUGAAACUAUCAUGAGAGCCACUUAUGGAUUGCCUACCAAAGAUGGCAAUACCUAGAUCUAUCCCCGCUUGUUAUGCCUAGCUAGGGGCGUUAAACGAUAGCGCUUGUUGGGAGGCAACCCAAUUUUAUUUUUAUUCCUUGCUUUUUUCUCCUGUUUAGUAAUAAAUAAAUUAUCUAGCCUCUGUUUUGGUUGUGUUUUUUUGUGUUUAAUUAGUGUUUGUGCCAAGUAGAACCGUUGGGAAGACUUGGGGAAAGUCUUGUUGAACUUGCUGUAAAAAAUAGAAACUUUUGCGCUCACGAGAACUGCUGCCAUUUUUAUUUGAAGAGUGGUAUUCAGUUAAUUAUUUUUGCAGAUGAUUAAUAGAUAAAUUCCUCACGUCCAGAAAUUUAUUUUAGAAUUUUUGGGGUUCCAGAUCUUUCGCUAGCUACAGAUUACUACAGACUGUUCUGUUUUUGACAGAUUCUGUUUUUCGUGUGUUGUUUGCUCAUUUUGAUGAAUCUAUGGCUAGUAAAAUAGUUUAUAAUCCAUAGAUAAGUUGGAAUACAGUAGGUUUAACACCAAUAUAAAUAAAGAAUGAGUUCAUUACAGUACCUUGAAGUGGUCUUUUGUUUUCUUUCGCUAACGGAGCUCACGAGUUUUCUAUUUUGAGUUUUGUGUUGUGAAGUUUUCAAGUUUUGGGUAAGAAUUUGAUGGAUUAUGGAACAAGGAGUGGCAAGAGCCUAAGCUUGGGGAUUCCCACGGCACCCCCAAUAUAAUCCAAGGACACCAAAAAGUCAAAGCUUGAGGAUGCCCCGGAAGGCAUCCCCUCUUUCGUCCACUUCCAUCGGUAACUUUACUUGGAGCUAUAUUUUUAUUGACCAACAUGAUAUGUGUUUUGCUUGAAGCGUCUUGUAUUAUUUGUGUCUUUGUUUGUUAGUAUGCCACAAUCAUCCUUGCUGUACACACCUUUUGAGAGAGCCAUACAUGAAUGAAAAUUUGAUAGAAUACUCUAUGUGCUUCACUUAUAUCUUUUGAGCUAAGUAGUUUUGCUCUAUGUGCUUCACUUAUAUCCUUUGAGCGUUAUAAUUUUGUUCUAUGUGGUUCACUUAGAUCUUUUAGAGCAUGGUGGUGGAUUUGUUUUAAAUAAACUAUUGAUCUCUCAUGCUUCACUUAAAUUAUUUUGAGUCUCUUAAUAGCAUGGUAAUUUGCUUAAUAAUAAUAUGCUUGGUAUUCAAGAUUUGUGAAACUUUCUUUUGAGUGUGUUGAAUACUAAGAAAAGAUUGAAGCAUGAUAAUUGUUUUGAGAUAUGGAGGUGAUAAUAUUAAAGUCAUGCUAGUGGAGUGGUUGUGAAUUUAAAUAAUACUUGUGUGGAAGUUUGUGAUUCCCGUAGCAUGCACGUAUGGUGAACCGUUAUGCGAUGAAGUCGGAGCAUGAUUUAUUUAUUGAUUGUCUUCCUUAUGAGUGGCGGUCGGGGACGAGCGAUGGUCUUUUCCUACCAAUCUAUCCCCCUAGGAGCAUGCGCGUAGUACUUUGCUUUGAUAACUUCUAGAUUUUUGCAAUAAGUAUAUGAGUUCUUUAUGACUAAUGUUGAGUCCAUGGAUCAUACGCACUCUCACCCUUCCACCUUUGCUAGCCUCUCUAAUAGCGCGCAACUUUCGCCGGUAUCAUACACCUACCAUAUACCUUCCUCAAAACAGCCACCAUACCUACCUAUUAUGGCAUUUCCAUAGCCAUUCCGAGAUAUAUUGCCAUGCAACUUUCCAUCAUCUAGUUCAUCAUGACAUCCAUCAUUGUCAUAUUGCUUAGCAUGAUCAUGUAGUUGACAUAGUAUUUGUGGCAAAGCCACCGUUCAUAAUUUUCAUACUUGACUCUUGAUUCAUUGCAUAUCCUGGUACACCACCGGAGGCAUUCAUAUAGAGUCAUACUUUGUUCUAAGUAUCGAGUUGUAAUUGUUGAGUUGUAAGAAAAAUAAAAGUGUGAUGAUCAUCAUUAUUAGAGCAUUGUCCCAGUGAGGAAAGAAUGAUGGAGACUAUGAUUCCCCCACAAGUCGGGAUGAGACUCCGGACGAAAAAAAAGAGGCCAAAUAAGCCCAAAUAAAAAAAAGAGAAAGGCCAUAAAAAAUAUAAUAAUAAAGAAAAUGAGAGAAAAAGAGAGAAGGGACAAUGUUACUAUCCUUUUACCACACUUGUGCUUCAAAGUAGCACCAUGAUCUUCAUAGUAGAGAGUCUCUCAUGUUAUCACUUUCAUAUACUAGUGGGAAUUUUACAUUAUAGAACUUGGCUUGUAUAUUCCCAUGAUGGGCUUCCUCAAAUUGCCCUAGGUCUUCAUGAGCAAGCAAGUUGGAUGCACACUCACUUAGUUUCUUUUUGAGCUUUCAUAUACUUAUAGCUCUAGUGCAUCUGUUGCAUGGCAAUCCCUACUCACUCACAUUGAUAUCUAUUGAUGGGCAUCUCCAUAGCCCGUUGAUAGGCCUAGUUGAUGUGAGACUAUCUUCUCCCUUUUUGUCUUCUCCACAACCACCAUUCUAUUCCACCUAUAGUGCUAUGUCCAUGGCUCACGCUCAUGUAUUGCGUGAAGAUUGAAAAAGUUUUGAAAAAGUUAGAGUAUGAAACAAUUGCUUGGCUUGUCAUCGGGGUUGUGCAUGAUUUAAAUAUUUUGUGUGGUGAAGAUAGAGCAUAGCCAGACUAUAUGAUUUUGUAGGGAUAACUUUCUUUGGCCAUGUUAUUUUGAGAAGACAUAAUUGCUUUGUUAGUAUGCUUGAAGUAUUAUUAUUUCUAUGUCAAUAUAAACUUUUGUCUUGAAUCUUUCUAAUCUGAAUAUUCAUACCACAAUUAAGAAGAUUUACAUUGAAAUUAUGCCAAGUAGCACUCCGCAUCAAAAAUUCUCUUUUUAUCAUUUACCUACUCGAGGACGAGCAGGAAUUAAGCUUGGGGAUGCCUGAUACGUCUCCAACGUAUCUAUAAUUUUUGAUUGCUCCAUGCUAUAUUAUUUACUGUUUUGGACUAUAUUGGGCUUUAUUUUCCACUUUUAUAUUAUUUUUGGGACUAACCUAUUAACUGGAGGCCCAGCCCAGAAUUGUUGUUAUUUGCCUAUUUCAGUGUUUCGGAGAAACAGAAUAUCAAACGGAGUCCAAAUGGAAUAAAAUCUUCGGGAACGUGAUUUUCUCACCGAACGUGAUCCAGGAGACUUGGACCCUGCUCCAAGGAACAAAAGAGGCGGUCACGAGGGUGGGGGCGCGCCCCCCUGCCUCGUGGGCCCCUCGUUGGUCCUCCAGCAUACUUCUUCCUCCUAUAUAUACACACGUACCCCCAAACGAUCAGAACAGGAGCCAAAAACCUAAUUCCACCACCGCAAAUUUCCGUAUCCACGAGAUCCCUUCUUGGGGCCUGUUCCAGAGCUCCGCCGGAAGAGGGCCGUCAUCACGGAGAGCUUCUACAUCAUCCUAGCCUCUCUGAUGAAGUGUGAGUAGUUUACCUCAGACCUUCGGGUCCAUAGUUAGUAGCUAGAUGGCUUCUUCUCUCUCUUUGAAUCUCAAUACAAAGUUCUCCCCCUCUCUCAUGGAGAUCUAUUCGAUGUAAUCUUCUUUUUGCGGUGUGUUUGUUGAGAUCGAUGAAUUGUGGGUUUAUGAUCAAGUCUAUCUAUGAAUAAUAUUUGAAUCUUCUCUGAAUUCUUUUAUGUAUGAUUGAUUAUCUUUGCAAGUCUCUUCGAAUUAUCCAUUUGGUUUGGCCAACUAAAUUGGUAGUUCUUGCCAUGGGAGAAGUGCUUAGCUUUGGGUUCGAUCUUGCGGUAUCCUUUCGUAGUGACAAAAGGGGCAGCAAGGCACGUAUUGCAUCGUUGCCAUCGAGGAUAACAAGAUGGGGUUUAUUUCAUAUUGCAUGAAUUUAUCUCUCUACAUCAUGUCAUCUUGCUUAAGGCAUUACUCUAUUUUUAACUUAAUACUCUAGAUGCAUGCUGGAUAGCGGUCGAUGAGUGGAGUAAUAGUAGUAGAUGCAGAAUUGUUUUGGUCUACUUGUCAUGGAUGUGAUGCCUAUAUACAUGAUCAUGCCUAUAUAUUCUCAUAAUUAUGCUCAAUUCUGUCAAUUGCUCAACAGUAAUUUGUUCACCCAUCGUAGAAUACUUAUGCUCUUGAGAGAAGCCACUAGUGAAACCUAUGGCCCCCGGGUCUAUUCUCAUCAUAUCAAUCUCCAUCACUUUAAUAUUGUUUUGCUAUUUACUUUACCUUUACUUUUUUACUUUGCAUCUUUAUACCAAAAAUACCAAAAAUAUUCUAUCUAUCAGAUCUCACUCUCGUAAGUGAUUGUGAAGGGCUUGACAACCCCCAAUCGCGUUGGUUGCGAGUAGCUAUCGUUUUGUGCAGGUACGAGGGACUUGAGCGUGGCCUCCUACUGGAUUGAUACCUUGGUUCUCAAAAACUGAGGGAAAUACUUACGCUACUCUGCUGCAUCAUCCCUUCCUCUUCGGGGAAAAUCAACGCAAGCUCAAGACGUAGCAUGCUUCCACUAGGGCGUGGGAGGGGGACUCCCUACUGCGGAGAGCUCCCGGGGCGUGUACAGCCCCGCCCUGACAUGUGGCUUGCACGGCAGGGCUAGACGAGGUGUAUCGGGGCACUCGUGAGCCAGCGCGGGACUCACGAGGCCCUACCUCAAGGCGGGUUGCGCCUGGUCUUGGUUCUUGUUUGCUGUCUUGGUCCUGCAAGGUGGUUAGGCAACCUGUGCCGAACGAAUCUCCUGAGGUCAUCGCAUGAAAAAGCCAAGCACCAACGGCCCCGGGAGGUGACGUGAACGGGGCCGGCCCGCCAGACAGAGCUCAACCGCUAGAUUUAUCGACGCUACAGGUACGGACCCGAGCACAGACGCCGUGCUUGACUUACUCACGCAAGGGGUUCUGAAGAAAGACGGACGGCGCGCGGCUCCCACGGUGGGUGACAAUCAAGCAGGCGAUAGUCAUAGAUAGAUUAAGCAUGGGAAGCAACCUAGCUCAGGUAAGUGCAGGGAAGAUGCAUGCCACCGGGUCCGGCACGAGCGGCUUGGGGAUGAUGCAGCCCGAGGGGCGCCCCCAACAGGGUAAGCUAAAGACAUAAAAGGAAAGAUACAUGCCAUAGGGAUGGACCCACGCGGCCUGGGAAUGAUGCACCCUGGGGGCGCUCCCAGCUGAAUGAACCUUGGAAAAUGUCACCUGGCCAUGUCGAUGAAGGAGAGUUGGGGUAGUUGAAGGCGUGCGGCGAAGGGCUGCCCCUCAUGAGCCACUGGGCCCUGAGGCUCGGGAGGCCCUGGGGGGCCAGGAGGUUCCUCGAGGACCGUCUUCAUCUCCGUCAGCACCGCGUGGUGCCUGGCCUCCUGAGCCGCCAGGCUGCUCCGCAGGUUGCGGUGAUAGGAGGCUGCCACGCUCGGUAGACCGAAGGGCAUGCGAACGUAACUGUGGGAUGGGCCCUCGCAGCGUCCAACGCGCGAAGGCCAGAGAAGCUCCUGAGAGGCGGCCCGAUUGAGCCCUGGAACGUCGAUGUAGACGCGCAUCCCGACAUCCUCGCCUGGAUUGGGAACUGCGCCUAAUGAGCGGCGGCUGCCGCGCAUGGCCCUCGCGUCUUGCAGUUCCUGAGUGGUCUUGGUGAUGAACUCCUGAGCGGUGAGCACUCCUUGCCUUGUGUCCUCCUGAGGAAAACGUCUCGUGAAGCACGCCUCCAAAUGGUGCCCAAGCGCCUCCCUCGUGAUGAUGGCAAAGUCUGAGGCCCUCCAAAAGAGAUCCCUCGAGCCCUUCCUGAGAGGGGCGCUGGGCGCGCCUCCCUAUGCGAUGGAGGGAGGCGCCCCAGGCGCGGACGCCGAUCCUAACGAGGCGUCGCUUUCCUGAGGCCCUGCGUGACGUAGCUGCUUCUUCUUCUUCUUGGGGGUGGCCUUAGGAGGGCGCUCACCCUGACUGUCGGGGUCGUCGAUUACUUCAGCUUGAAGGCACGCUCGAGGGAGCACACCGCAUCUCUUUCUUCGCAUGGGACUAUGAUGAUUCCGCCGCUUCUCGGCAUCUUGAGGACAUUGUAGCCGUGAUGGGUCACCGCCAUGAACUUGGCCAGGGCUGGAUACCCGAGGAUGGCACUGUAUGGCAGGUGGAUGUAGGCGACGUCGAAGUCGAUGAGUUCGGUGCGGUAGUUGUUGCGUUCUCCAAAGGUAACAGGGAGGUGGACCUGCCCGAUCGGGGUAGUAGAGCCGUCGGUCACUCUUGAGAAAGGCUUGGUAGGCUGAAGCUGGUCAUAUGGCACUUGGAGGUUGUCGAACAUGUCGACGAACAGGACAUUGAGCCCUGCGCCGCUGUCGAUGAGGGUCUUGGUAACUUGCACGUUGCUGAUGAUUGGUGAACAGAGCAUUGGGAGGACGCCUGCGGUGGCCGCACACUUGAGCUGAUCUGCCGAACUGAACGUGAUGGGGCACCUGGACCAUCUGAGUGGGCGUGUGGCCUCGAGCUUGGGGAGAACUGCAUUCACUUCACGGGCAAACUGUUUGAAGAUAUGCUGGGGCUUGAGCUCCGCCCAAGAUGCAGGCGACAUCGCGUGGCUCCUGGAAGCCCCCAGCCCCCUCGUCUUGAUGGUGGUCGUCAUUCCUUCUAGGUGGUGGUGGUAAUGGAGGAAGGCCUGCGUUGCCUUGAGGACGAGCCUCACGAGGCUGGUCCCUCCAUGCGCCCUCGCGAGGCUGAUCCUACCAGUAGUCCUCACGAGGCUGGUCGUGCCACUCCUGGCGCGGGCCACAGUCGUCCCAUCGUCCACCGCCACGUCCUCCUCCUCGGUCGUAGCCCCGGUCGCUGCGCUCGGGGCGUCGACCGAAGCAUCCUUCUCGAAUGGCUCUGAGUUCUUGACAGUCGCUGGUGUUGUGGGUAUGUAGGUUGUGGAAGGCGCGGAAUGGUCGGCUGCCCUUGGAUGACUCGGGUUGGUCUCUGCCGCAUUUGGUGUCUGGUUCCGCCGCGAGCACGGCUGCUCCCUUGCGCUUCACAUCCUUGGCCUUGGUCUUUUUCUCUUCUGGGUCUGCAGCAGGGAGCUCGAGGAGGGAGAGGCGCCCCUCCUCAGCUCUGGCACACUUGGUUGCGAUGUUGAACAGCUCUAGGGUCGUGCACAGCUCUUCGUGGAUGGUGAGCUCCUCCUUCAUCUUGAUGUUAAGGACACCGUCGGAGAACGCUUGGAUGAUGGCCUCGUCGGUCACCUUGGGGAUUUUGAUGCGCGCGUUGUUGAAGCGCUGAAUGUACUUCUGUAGGGUNNNNNNNNNNNNNNNNNNNNNNNNNNNNNNNNNNNNNNNNNNNNNNNNNNNNNNNNNNNNNNNNNNNNNNNNNNNNNNNNNNNNNNNNNNNNNNNNNNNNNNNNNNNNNNNNNNNNNNNNNNNNNNNNNNNNNNNNNNNNNNNNNNNNNNNNNNNNNNNNNNNNNNNNNNNNNNNNNNNNNNNNNNNNNNNNNNNNNNNNNNNNNNNNNNNNNNNNNNNNNNNNNNNNNNNNNNNNNNNNNNNNNNNNNNNNNNNNNNNNNNNNNNNNNNNNNNNNNNNNNNNNNNNNNNNNNNNNNNAUUUUGUCCCGGGAGGAAAUUGAGCCUGGAGGCAGGUUCAGGAGCCAGGAGCGGGGACCAUCCUUGAGAGCCAUGGGAAACCAGUUUGCCAUGACUUUCUCGUCGCCGUUGGCCGCCUCGAUGCUCAGCUCGUAGAGCUGUAGGAACUCCGCGGGGUCGGGGGUGUCGUCGUAGCGAGGAGGCAGGUCUGGCUUGAACUUGCCUGGCCAGGCGACGCUGCGUAGCUCGGGGGUGAAGGCGCGGCAGCUGGCCGUGGUUACCGGGGCCUGCCUUGGAGGUGGAGCCUGGCCUUGGCGCCCGCGCGCUGCUACGGCCAACGGCGCGGGGCCUUGCCGCAGCAAACGAUCCUGGCGCGGCAGAGCGAGGAGUGGCGGAGCGUUCGCCUGCGGUCAAGGGACUUCUUCACAGUUUCUUUCUUUAUGCGCGGGCGCCGGACGCGGUGGGUCGCGCCACGGAGCCGCAUGCCUUGGCGCUAGGGCGCCGUCUUGGGGCAGAGGUGGUGUAGGUGCUUCAUGAGCAGCGUCGCCCGUGGCUGGCGGAGGGCGAGGCAGAGAGUGGGACGGUGCAGGGGAGCCCCCUGCGACACGGACAAGCUCGGCGAUGCGGUCAAGCCAGUCCUCAUAGAGGUCGUCGACCGGGCGGUAGCGCGGGAGCUCGUGCGCCAUGAGGAGCGCGGCCCGUGCGUCCGUGGGAACAUGACGAGCGUGAGACGAGGAACCAGCGGGAGUCAGCGAUGGAGUGGCAGUGCGGCCGUCCUGUCGCGCCGAGGGGUGCAGCGAGGAUGCUUGCUGCUCGUUCCCCGCCGGGCCGGUGGCGGCGUUGGCGGCAGGCGACGGAGAGCGAUGGGGUGGCCCGCCGACAGGGGCCGUCUGAGCAACGCGGGUGGCGAGGGCAGCCCGGCGCUCGGCAUGGGCGCGACGCACGUCCGCCAUGGAGACGAUGAAGCGACGCGACACGGAGCGACAGAAGGGAAGCUUCGGCGCACCCCUACCUGGCGCGUCAAAUGUCGGAUCACGGGUUCCGGCAAAACCCUUAAGGUUCGAAGUCUGGGGUGCGCGUGAAUACCUCCCCCCCUAUCGAUCCGCGUCCUAACUUAGCCUAGAUCUCACGAACUAACUCGACGAACUCGCAACACAAAGGACACAAGAUUUAUACUGGUUCGGGCCACCGUCGUGGUGUAAUACCCUACUUCAGUGUGGUGGUGGAUUGCCUCUUGAGCUGAGGAUGAACAGUACAAGGGGAAGAACAGCCUUCUCAGGUUGAGGUGUUCUUGUGCUUGGUGCACUUGUGUGGCUGAGGAUGAUCUUGGAUUCUCCCCGCCUAUGGUGGUGGCUAGUCCUAUUUAUAGAGGCCCUGAUCCACUCCCCAAAUAUUGAGCGGGAAGGGAGCCAACAACGGCCAAUUUGAAAGAGGACAGCUAGUACAAGCUAUCCUGACAAAAGGUGGUCUUCGCCUGCCAAAGGUUCUGGUGGUGACGCCGUCCUGGGCUCCAUGGUGACCUCCGUCUUGUCGUCCUUCUGGUAUGGGUCUCGUUGCACCAAUAUGGAAAUCUUUGCUUGAUGCCUCGGUACUCCGCACCUGCGCUUGCCUCCUUAGCACCAAAGGGAAAACAAGGACGUUGUGCACGCUGGCGCCCGCCUGGUCUCGAUCAUUAUGGCUUACGUCAUGGAAACCUCACGAGGUUUGCCCAACCUUGAACUCUCCACCCCUCAAAAGCCGGCCUGAUGAGGCUGCUCCUGAGAAGGUCUUGUGUCGUCCGCCUCGCAAGGCUUGGCCCCUCGCGAGGGUCUUGAUUUCUUGUUGAUGAAGAUGGGUCGUACGGAACUGCCAGCAAAGCCACGCCGUGGGCUGCAGGCAGGCAAGUCUGGGACCCCCGUUCCCAGAACGCCGGCAGACUUUUGUCUUAAUGUGUUCCAAAGCUUGUGUAAGUAAGAUGCUAUCCUACACAUCAUUCUUUGGAGGAACACACCAAUGUGAGCCCGACUGCUGGUCACGGUCUAUGACAUUGGGCAAUCUCUAGGAAACUCAUGAGAAGGUCAGGAGUAUGACUAAUAAGCUCCACCCGUGAAGUUUAGCCUUCGGGAUCCACGUAUCAGCUGACAAUAAGCAAAACUUCUGCACGCCAAACUGAUAAUUCAGGGCAUAGUCCAUUAUUCAAUUGUGAAGAAGUCCAAUCCUGUUGUUCUAGGUGAAAGUUCAACUUAACAGUCUUCACUAAAAAUUCCGAUAUAUCAAACAUUGUUUGGAACAGUUGACAAACUUAUGUGCAUCAAGAUCUGGUGGGGGAUUGUUGAAUCAUAGAUGUGCUUUAGGCCCAUAUGAACAAUGAUUUCUAGUUAAUCUUGAGGCCAUGUAGGUAUAUGGCACGUGAUGAGAAGUUUAGCACCACCUUGCUAGUUGAGGACAGUUGAGUCCUUUUUAUAAGGGAUGCUCUACCACUUGCCAUUCGGAUCUUGGGAAGGGGAGUUGUACACGCAUUCCUCCUCCUCCACUGCCCGCCUCGUCACGAUAUGCGUGUGCGCGCCGUGGGUUACGGGAAUGAGCCGAGACGUUGGACCAUGGGUUGUUUGCAUUCCUGGGAUAUGGCGACUCCCUUAGUGGGUGUGCGACUCUUCUCUGGGAACGACGACUCCCUUCCCGAGUUUGCGUCGACUUGGUCGUGGGCCUAAGCCCAGGCCCAUGACUUCCUACCCGACGGCCUAUAUAAGGAGGCGCUGGCCUGUGGAGUGAAACCUAACUCACUCACUCCCUACAUAACCCUAGCCCCCAUCUACUUUUCCUCCCACUUUGCUGCUUCCGGUAUUCCCAUCCUUACGACUGCAUGCACGGUUGGUCGGGAGAGCAGGUGCCUUCGGAACCCUGUCUUCCGAGAUCUUGCCCGGGAGAACGGCAAUAAGUUUUUUGGGGAGUGUCUCGACAUGAUUGCUCCCGAUACAUCCCCGUCUCCAUCCGCCUCUGCUUUCAUUACUUCCUCUGCAUCGACUCCAUGGCUGAUGACGAUGCCGCCAAGAAGAAGGCCUCAGACGAUGACGAGGCUGCCGCUGCCGCGUUGGUCUUGCCAAUCGGAGGGUAUGACCCGUUCAUCCUCUAUUUGCCUGUUUAUGUGCUAGCCGUAUAUAGCAAUUUGGAACGCAAAUUGCGUUUUAACAAGUCUCACUAUUCUAAGUUUUUAGAAGAAAUGGCCUUUAUUUUUUAUUUUUUAUGGGGUUAAUAAAUAUUAAUCAUAUUUAAUUUAAGAAAUGAGAGAAUUCAGAAUAGCUACAAGGAAGACUAGUCCAAUCCAUAAUGUUUUGUUUAUAGAUGUUUCGCUUCUAUAUACUGGAUGUGCUCACAUGAUUAGGUAUCGGUAUGAGCUGCAUACUGUGAUUGCCAUGCUUAUUAUCUACUCUUGGAUUAGAUUUGUUCAAAAGGUGCUAAUAUUUACAGCAAUUCUUUCCAACUUAUUAUAUCUCCUAUACCUUAAACAGAUUGUAGGUAACAAAACUUGGCAAAUAUGUUGGAGAUGCUCUAGCCUUGUGACGGAUUUUUGCGGUACGUCUGCAGACUGCUAUACACAUACUACCAUUGAUUGGGCAGUUUUUUACAGUGGUGUGAUUAAUUAUGGAGAUGUCUCCAGUGAGGGGCAGGCAGCAGAGGAGAAGCCAUUACACAAUAACUCUGCAGGUGGCUUUAAACCGCAGAUGGCUAUAGCUAGGCGCGCGCAUGCGGGGGGAGGGAAGUGCAUAUGCAUGCAGAUGAUGCAUGUGUGUGUCCGUCCACUGGGAUAUUAUGGUGCAUUUGUAAGCACGCAGAAAUCGCAGACGAUGGGGUGCAGCCCUAGAGAUGCUGAAAUAAAUCGAGCUAGCCAAGGAGUACGUACUCCUCCUCCUCCUCCUCCUUAGCUACUACUACUAUCGACGUCUCUUGGCGAAAUCAAUCCGGCCCUGCGUGACGCAACGAGGAGCUAAGUUGCACUUGAAUUGCAUUGCAUUGCACCGCAUGCCAUUACUGCAUGCAAUGCCCCAACUGCAUGCAUUCAUGUGGAUUUGUUACUAUCUCUACGUGCCGAAUUCAAGUCUUCAACCGAACUAGCAUACCUUCAACGACAGCAACACCAAAAAGAUCUCAAGGGAUUUUCUUUCUGCCCGAUCGAGAGGUUUUAGGAUAUUAUGUAUCUCUGUUUUUUGCACCUUAAUAAUCUCCAUUUUGAUCAGGCCGUGCCUUGAGAAAGCCAUGGGUUGCUUGUGCAAGGCAGCGGAUCUAUUUCUUCCGAGACAUGCAUCCGACCUCCGUGCAGACGCACUUGAAGUGCAGCUCCCGCGCCCAGAGAUUUGUCCGUCGUACUAUAUAAUUGUGUAAUGAUGCCCUUGUUUAUCCUGCUUUUACUUCCUUCCAGUGUGUGUGUCAGCCCCUGCAGUGAAGCACCGGCGCCUGUACUUUGCAGAGGGCGAUGCUGCUGUGUUUCGCCAGUCCAUGCCUCACCCGACAGUCGAUCUGAGCCGUAGGUUCUCGAUCGGAUAGUGCUCACGACACCUGAAGAUUACUCGACGACGAACAGAGCUAUGCAAAUCGUACGCAUGCAAGGCUCAAAUACUUGGUUCGAACCCUCGCACCUCAGGAUCCAAAGCGGGGACGGGUUUCACGGACAAUAUCACGGCAGUACAAAAUUAGUGUUAACUUGGCAGGUAGUAAUUGAUGCGUUUCGCGGGAUAAGUGGGCCGCCGCUUGCAUCGAUAUAUUACUCGCACCCUACCUAAUUAAGCCCUUGAAUCCCUAAAAAAAAUUAAGUCCUUGAAGAAAAAACAGAAAAACAUGGUGAAAACACAGUUGACUAGUACAAAUUAUUUGGAGACAACCAUCGCUAGCUUAGCUGCUGCAUACCGUUAGUUAGGUCUUGCAUUUCUUCAGCAAACAGGGGAUUACAAACUUAGAAGACCACUGCUACUACAACACCAAUCGGAAACUAGCAAUAACGCUAAUUAAACUGACCAACCCAUUGCAACCCAGCAACACAAAGGAAAGUAACUACUUAAGCUAAGUAGCCUGCUACUCAGAGACCCACCCUGUCCAGUGGAUGAUCCGACGGCGGUCACUCCCUCCUCCAGCCCCAAGAUUCGCGCAUCGCCUGAUCGAGCUAACCAUCCGUGUGAGCAUCCACUGGACGGGCACGCGCCCGCACCACCGUUGAUUUUUCU
RNAcentral lists this long non-coding RNA (61378 nucleotides) under Triticum aestivum (bread wheat). RNAcentral describes it as "long non-coding RNA (TAES_LNC005479)". Lineage: Eukaryota; Viridiplantae; Streptophyta; Magnoliopsida; Poales; Poaceae. The record is from RNAcentral.